This 60876-nucleotide long non-coding RNA is filed under the name Lupinus angustifolius (narrow-leaved blue lupine). Its description in RNAcentral is "long non-coding RNA (LANG_LNC002304)". The record is from RNAcentral. Lineage: Eukaryota; Viridiplantae; Streptophyta; Magnoliopsida; Fabales; Fabaceae.
CAUCUGCAUGCUAUCUGGACAGAGAUGAAAAGGGAAAAGCGAUUGAGGUAACCAAAUAUCGUGGGAUAAUCGGCUAAUUAUUAUAUUUAACUGUUAGCCGCCCCAAUAUUAUGUUUAGUGUUUGCAUGUAUGCUAGAUUUCAAGCUUUACCUAAAGAAUCACAUUAUAUUGCCGUGAAACGCAUCAUGAGAUAUCUAAAAGGAUCUAUUCAUAUGGGAUUAUAGUAUUCUCGGGAUGCCUCACUAUCCUUGGUAGGUUACUCCGACUCCGACUUCGCUAGGUGUAAGUUGGAUCGCAAAAGCACUAGUGGGACUUGUCACCUAUUAGGCAGCUCCCUAGUUGCAUGGCAUAGCAAAAAGCAAGCGUGCGUGGCUUUGUCCACCGCUGAAGCGGAAUACAUUGCCGCUGGCGUGUGUUGCGCUCAAAUCCUUUGGAUGAAGCAAAAACUUAAGGACUUUGGGCUUAUAUUAGAAAAGAUCCCUAUUAAAUGUGAUAACACAAGUGCCAUUAACCUCUCCAAGAAUCCCGCCUUACAUUCUAGAACUAAGCAUAUUGAAAUAAGGCACCAUUUCUUGCGUGAUUAUGUUCAAAAAGGUGAUUGUGUUUUAGAAUUUUUUGAAACAACUAAACAACUAGUAGAUAUUUUCACCAAACCCCUCUCACGAGAUACGUUCUAUGUUCUUCGAAGAGAACUAGGAAUUCUUGAUGAAAAAUAUUUUGUUUAAAAUUUUUUUGCCUUGCAUGAUCUCCUCUUUUAAUGUUUUGUAAAUGAUGAUUGAUUGCUCAUGAUCCCAUCUUAUAAAUUCACGACUCUGUGCUUAAAUGCUCUAAAUAUGUGUGAUAUCUUAUACAUCAAAUUAUCCAAUUAAGUUUAAAAUCCUUGCAUGAUUUUAAAAACAUCCAAAAUGCUGAAACUAAUGCAUUUAAUUGAUUAAGUAACUCAUUUAAUCGAUUACCUGGGGCAAAAUUUAAAAAUUGUCACUUUCAGCUCAGGUUUAAUCGAUUGAAGAGAUGCUGUUAAUCGAUUAACGACAUCCGUAUAAAUGGAACAGAAGCAUUUCUGGAAUUAUUUCAAAACACCAUUCAUCCCUUUUUCUCUCAAAUCUCAGAGGAACAAGUUCAACAUCAUCCUAAGCUCAAUCCUAGCCCUAAACCGAAUCCCCCAUUGCUUUUUCCCUCCAUAAACCAUUUCCCUCAUCUCCAAAUUCCAAACAUUCGUUUUUCCCCUAAAUUCAGAACCUAGCCCUAGGUUUAUCCAUCAACCCUCCUUUAAGCCUCCAUCACGAUUAAGUGUUCAUUUACUAUGGAUAAUGGACGUGGAAAGAGAAUCAAGACAACCACACAACGUCCACCGCAUGCUCCAAAAGCAGUGCCUCCUCCACAACCAAGGCAGAACCGCGGGGACCCAUAUUAUUCUCUAAUUCUACAAGGAACCUGGUUGCAAAAGUUCCAGGGAAGAAAACCCACCUAUAUUCGGUGUGCGAAUGUAACUUGGCUUGCUGAACAAAACUUUGAAUUUCCACAUGGCUUACAAGCUCAAGGGGUUGUCCCCUUCUUGGAAUUGAAAGGUAAUAUUUACCCUGCUCUAUUUAGGGAGUAUUACGCAAAUUUUAGAUACAAAGAUGGGAAAUAUUGGUCUAUGAUAGCUGGAAAACUGUUUGAGAUUAACGAAGAAAUUUUUAUGAACGUGGGUGGUUUAGCUUUUUCUGGUGCUAGUCUAAGUGAUUGUGGUUGGGCAAACGACAACUCAUUUGAUGUUGUUGAAAUGUAUAAGUCAUGUUUGUGUAGACCUCAACUUUAUGUCCAAGGCGAAUUGACCAGAGCUGGGUCAUUGUCCAUUGAAAACCGACUCCUACACUACUUGAUUGCCUACAUAUUGAUUCAGAGAAACACAAAUCAUGCAAAACCCACUGUGAAGGAGAACAUCAUGAUAAACUGGCCUGAUGAAAUUUUAGAGGCCAUGUAUAGCGUCUCAGUCUCUCAAUCAAGGCUACUUCCGUACAGUAUCUUUAUAUCCCGAAUAGUUGACUAUCUUCACAUUGAUAUUGAGGAUACCAUGGUAAUGGACUGCUCAGACAAGGAUCACUUGAUUGGUGAGAGUUUAGUUCACAAGAUGGGCAUCUAUAAGUAUGGAAACACUUGGCAAUAUCAAGAGGACUUCAACUAUGUCAACCUUGAUCCUUCUGGUGAAGACGAUCAAGACAUGAACCAAGAGCCAUUUGCUGCAACUCAGGGAGAGUAUUCAGGACAUGCAUCACAAGAACUCGUGUUUGGGCAAGCUUAUAUUGAUGCUAUGGAACAACGUCUCAAUAAUAGGAUGGACCUUCAUUUUCAGUCUCCAAUGGAUUCAUAUCAUACAGAUUUGGAACAUUUUGAGGAACGUCAGAAUGCAGACAUUGACAACCAUUACCAAUCCUUGCGGAACCAUAUUCAGUCUGCUAAUGAGUCUCAUAAUAGAAGAAUGAUUGUUGAGUUCAACAAGCUGAGUGUCUUCAUCAAGGGUGGUUGUAGCUCGUCAACUCCUGACAACCAGAAUCCUCCAUCUCAUCCUUAGAUAGGAACCCUUAGAGCCUUAGUUUAGUCCUCCUAGCUAAUGGACUUUGUUGAUCCUGUUUCCUCUUGAGAUCAUGUGUUUUGUGUUGCGUCACUGUUUUAUUUGGAUUGUAAUAACUCAUAACUACUACUGAUCUACUGUUUUGCUUUUGAAGAAUAUGAUUUCGAAUUAUCGUGAUUUAUACUUACUUGAUUAAUUAUGUCGCAUAUAUCUCUUCACUUUGUUUGCAAUGGAUCUUGAUCAUGAGUGGUGUAUGUAAUUAUGUUGACUGAUUAUGCCUAUUAUAAACCGCUUAAAUAUAUCAAAUGCGUCAUCAUUCCAUGCUUGAUUUGCUUAUGCAUAACCCCUCAUGUCAUUCAAACAGUUCUAUGGCUAUCUGUUGUCAUUUUAAUCGAUUAACAGCUUCACUUCUUCGAUUAAAUGAUGUAAAAAUUGUGAAUUUGUUCAAGCUUCUUAACAACUGAUUAAUUGGUUCAUAAUCCAAGGUUAAUUGAUUAAUUUCAGUCUGUCUUAACCAUAAUAACUCCUAACUUUUGAAUAGAAUUGAAUACGUUUAUCUUUUUUAUAAUUUCAAAAGGGGGAGAAAGAUUGCUUGUUGUGUUAUAUAUUUUGCAGAUUUUGUAUAGUAGUUUUGCAGGUUGUUAUAUCAAGCUUCCGACAAUACAUUUCAAAUGCGUUGUAACUGCUUUAACUCGGAAAGUCAAUCUCACUGUAAAAUCAUCAUCAAGCUUAUCCAUCAACAAUUGAAAUUUUUUGAUGAAGUGUUUGUCAUCAUCAAAAAGGGGGAGAUUGAAAGUGCAAAGUGUCAAGGAUAGCACUAGCAUGUCUUAGCCUAUGUUUUGAUGAAGACAAUGGUUUAACAAAGCUUGAAGAUGGCUCAACAAUCAAUAGGCCUUAUGCUCAUUUGGUCAUGUCUAGACUAGGAUAUAAAUUGAGUCUAUAAUCUAAGUAGUCUGGGAUGUGUGCCGUAGUAAUUGAGUAUAGGUUAGGUAAACCUAGAUGCUAGUCUCUUAAGCCAUCUUAGUUGAACUAUCAUAUUCAUGAGAUACAUCAUCUAGUUAAUUGUAUGUUCAUGCAUCUAUCAUACAUGUUAUAUGUGCAUAUUAGGCAUAAUAUAAUUAGUAAAGCAUGUAUGUUUAUGGUGCAUAACAUAUGAGAAGUUUGCCAUUUGAAACAUAUGCAUAAAUGCCUCCGUUAAUCGAUUAAUGUGGUACCUUAAUCGAUUAACCUAACUGCUUUUCUGUUGAAUAUGUGUCCUAUGUGCUUGUAAUUGAAUUGGUAUUUGUAUCCUUAAUUCAAUAUUGUGAAGAAAGAAAACCUCCCUGACCCAGAAGGGGAGGCCUGGAUGUAGUUUGCAGUGGACCGCAAACGAACCAGGAUAAAAAUCCUUUUUGCACUGUUCUUUCUCUCUUUAUCUUCCUUAUGUUUCUUGCCAUGAUAAAUUGAAUCUGUAAUUUGAAAGUUGGAUAUUUGUUUACUGCCAUAUACUUCAUAUUUGUGCAUAAAAAUAUCUGAAGUAUAAUUGUUCAAUUAUGUUUUAAUCACUAUGCAAUUUGCCUGUUUAGUCAUUCUGUUAUGUACAAUAGUUAAUCGAUUAAACCCUGUUGUUAAUCGAUUAACUGGACUGUUUUUCCAACAGUUGGGUUUUUGAUCAAGAAGCUGUAAUUGUUAACCGCUACACCUAUUCAACCCCCCCUUCUAGGUGUUCCUAGACCAUUGAUACCUAACAGAGAAUCUACUAAGGUACAAUCUUUUGACACUAGUUCAUAUUCGGAUAAUUUUGAAAAAUCGCCUACAUAUGAUGUACUAUAUAAUGCCUUUGUUGAACUACAUGAAGAAUUAAAGAAGCAAGCUAGAAUUAAUGUAGAUAGAAAAAUAGUCAUUAUUUUGCAUGAAAAGAAACUAGUUGAAAUGCAACAUGAGUUAAAGUUAGAAAAUGAGACUUUUGAUUGUUAGGUAUCAGUGGCUAAAAUACACCUAGAAGGGGGGGGGGGUUGAAUAGGUGUAGCGGUCAAUGUAUCCGCUUUCUGCAAACAACAAAUAAUGCUGAAAUAACCCCACAUUAAUCGAUUAACAAAGAAAGAAUAAUCGAUUAACGCAAGCAAUUUAAUCGAUUAAAAUAGCUCAGAUUACACGAACAGAUUCGUUUUCUUGCACGACAAGCAACUGAGAUCGAAUCAAAUAUAUAAAGCUAAUAGAUAUAUCAGAGUUACAACAGUAUAGUAUAGAAACAGAUGAUUACAAUUAAAACAACUAUACAAAGUAAUCGAUUAAAGCAAUAAAGAGAGAGAUGAAAAGAAAAGCGUGCAACGCGAUUUUUAUCCUGGUUCGUUUGCGGGUCCACUUGCAAACUACAUCCAGGCUUCCCGACAUAUCUGGGAGAUUUUUCUUCACUAUAAUUGAAAUAACAUUUUACAAACAAUUCUUCCAAUUACAACACUUAGACUCUUUCUUGAAACUAAAGAACCUUAUCCCUUGGUUUGACUCCCUUCCUACUGCCCAAGAAAACCUUUCUUGUGGUGUAGCCCCAGCCAAGAACAUAUUCUUUCUAUCAAGAUUUCUAAGCUAAUGAAGAUACAACACAAUCUCGUUGGUGGUAAGACACCUUGAGAUUCCCAAAGUUACAACACUUUUUNNNNNNNNNNNNNNNNNNNNNNNNNNNNNNNNNNNNNNNNNNNNNNNNNNNNNNNNNNNNNNNNNNNNNNNNNNNNNNNNNNNNNNNNNNNNNNNNNNNNUGAGUUCUGAAAAUGCAGUUUAUAAAGAAUCAAUUCUACAGCCCAGUUAAUCGAUUAAAUCCUUGGUUAAUCGAUUAACGUGUUACAAAAUUGUAACUGAUUCUUUUUUCCAAGUUUUCUGUUACAACAGCUUUUCAAAAACUUAUGUUAAUUGAUUAAAACACACCUUAAUCGAUUAAUUGCAUAUUUCCAAGUGUAUUUUUAAAUUUCAAAACUCAAAUAUGUUAUGCACUUAACUUAUACAUGUUCAACACUAAGUUUAUGCCUAGGAUGCACAUAUAACAUGUAUAUAUGUGAUGCAUGAACAUAUUGUGAAUGACAUAUCACAAAAAUAAAAUGAUUUAAUGUUUUAUGCAUAUGAGACAUGUAUUGAGUUUACCUAAGCCUUAGACUCAACCUAAACUAAUUACUAGUCUAAGUCUAAUACCAAUCUUGAGACUUAAGCAUGUUGAUUUGUUGAUGAUCUUCAAGCUUUUAUGAAACACAAGUUGUCCUCAUCAAAACCAAAACACAUAGUGAGCAAGCUUUCCAAAGUGCUUCUCUUGACAUGUGCACUUUCAUUGAUAUUAUAUAUGCUUGUGCUUCAUGUGAUUGUUCUUCUAAGUUAAUUGAGACCCCUAUAUGUGAGAAGUGCAAAGAUUAGGGAGCUGAACAUUUUGUUUUAGUUGAGACUCUUGAUCUUAUAUAUGCUUGUGCUUCAUGUGUUUUGAAGUCCAUAAAUUCUGUUUGGACUUCCAUUUUGUCACUUGGAUUUGAAAUAUGAUUGAUUUUUUUCUUCUAAAACAUCAAUUUUCAUGAAAAAGCAUGUUGUUUGGUUGGAAUUCUCUCAAUCAAAUUUAAUUCAUGAACUUAGUGUCUUAGGAAAUUAUAAAUUCAUGUGAAUUGUUAGACUAACCUCAAAGCAAAAGAAAAUUGCAAGUUCAAGAUGAUUUACAGGAAAACAAGUCCAAACAAACAGACAAAACUGAGGAGUUGAUGGCACCACUAUUUAGGAGAGGAUAGUGAAAACAAGGAGAAUGAAAUUUUGUGUUCUCCUAAAAAUGGUGGUUAGUUUUAAUUUUCUUUUUCAUUCUUUCAAAAUAUUAUACAAACUUCCUAAAAAUAUUUUUUUUUUGACUUGAGGACAAGUCAAGUACUUAAGUUGGGGGGAGUGUGUAUAACAAUUUGAAAGAAUGAAAUUUUGCUGUAUUUUAAAACUUUAUGUUGUUUUUGCUGUAUUAUUAAUUCCUUAGUGUGUUUAUUUUUAUUUUCAGUAUGCUUACUUGUUAAAAUUAUUUUUUAGUGUGUUUAUUUUAUUUUCUUUUUGAAGAUUUAUUUAAAAAGUGAAUUUGUUGAAACUAAACAAAGUAAAUAAACAAAAACUUGGCCUAAACAUUUUUCAAGAUCAAUGACUUUGUAAAUUACAAGCUUUGAUGAGCAACAUGAGAUGAAAAAUUGAAAAUUUUGUGAAUAAUUCAUAAUGUUAUAACUUGGAUAAAAUGCAAACUUUUUGGAAAAUCAUGUAUCAUGACCUUGUGAAUUUGUUUAAAAAUCAAAGAGUUGUACAUAAACAAACCUUGUGAGGGAGUGUAAGCCAGACAAAAUAAUUAUGUGAGCUUUGUGAGAAAGUUUUUGGUUUUGCGUGAUUUUGUUUGAAUCUUCCUUUACUUGGUUGCGCACAUCCUAAUCGAUGCCCUCAUCCUGGUUGUAGCCUUUGGCCACUAAGUGAGCUUUAUUUCUGAUUAUCAAUUCAGAUUCAUCCAAUUUAUUACGAAAGACCCAUCUAGUAUCAAUCACUAGAUGUUCUUUAAGCUUAGGGACCAAGUCCCAUACAUUAUUACGCUCGAACUGGUUUAGCUCUUCUUGCGUAGCUAUACCCCAAUGCACAUCCUCAAUAGCCUCAUCAAUUGUCUUAGGCUCGAUUAGAGAUACAAAAGCUACAAUGUUACAAAAGUUACAUAAAGAUCUACGGGUUACCACCCCCGUAGUUAUAUCACCUAUCACUUUGUCGAGUGGAUGAUCCUUCUUGGUCUUCCACGCGAUUGGCAAGUCCUGAAGCUCAUCUUGUAUAGUUUGCUCUGCUUCUGCUUCUUUGUCCUGGUCCAUGUUCUUAGAGUAUGCUUCUUGCCAAGCACCUACAACAUCAUCUUAGAAUACAUUCCUCUUCUCUUUUGGAGAAGAUUCGUCAAAAUGGACAUGCACAAACUCUUCUACUUGCAUUGAAUACUUAUUAAAGAUUCGAUAAACUUUACUAUGCAAUGAAUACCCCCAAAAUAUACCCUCAUCAGCUUUUGAAUCAAAUUUACUUACAACUCUUUUUCCAUUAUUUAAUAUAAAGCAUUUACACCCAAAAGCUUGAAAAUGAGAAAUAUUAGGUCUACAGCCUUUUAAAAGUUCAUAAGGAGUUUUUGAAAAGGUAGGCCUCAAGAGUAUACGAUUAAUCACAUAGCAAGUUGUAUGCAAUGCAUCAGCCCAAAAAUAUUUGGGAACCUUGCUUUCAUUUAGCAUUGUUCUAGCAAACUCCUCUAAGACUCGAUUCUUCGUCUCAACAACUCCAUUUUGUUGAGGGGUGCGAGGGGCCAAAAAUUGAUGCAUAAUACCAUAUUUAUUACAGAAUUUAUCAAAUAAAUGGUUUUCAAAUUCGCCACCAUGAUAGGAUCGAAUAUAUAAUAUCUUAUGAUUAAACCGGUUUUGGAUUUGCUUGGCAAGGUUUUUGAAAGGCUUAAAAGCAUCGCUCUUGGACGAAAGAAAUAAUGUCCAUGUAAAUCUAGAGAAAUCAUCAACGAUCACUAAAGCAUAAAAGCUACCACCAAAACUCAUAACCUGUGAUGGUUCAAACAAAUCCAUAUGGAGAAGCUCCAAAGGUCGUAUUGUGGAUAUCACAUUCUUUGUAGCAAAAGAUUUUUUAACUUGUUUACAUCUUUGACAAGUAUCACAAGUUUCUUGAGUUUUAAAAUCAAGUUUUGGCAGCCCAUUAACCAAAUUAUUUUUAGACAAUUUAUCUAUAUGCUUUAUAUGAAUAUGAGCGACACGCCUAUGCCAAAGCCAUAUUUUCUUUAUAAAUUUCCCGAAUUUGCGAACGAGAAGGCCCAAAGUUUCUUCGUCUAUAUCUGAAUCAGAUUCAUCUUCUUCUCUUUCUUCUAUGGAUUGAGAUGUUGUUGCCUUGAGAGAUAUACUUUUCUUUUUGCGAUCUGAUUCUUCGUGCAUAGUCAGGCGUCCCAGCUCUAUUUCGUGCUCUUGAAGUUUUCCAAACAAUGUCGACAAAGGCAUGGAGUCAAGAUCCUUUUAUUCCAUAAUAGCUGUUACUUUUGGUUGCCAUCUCCUGUUAAGAUAGUGUAAAACUUUGUCAGGGCAUUUAGCUUGGCACACUUGACUUCGCUAGUGCCUUCGUGAGUCACUUAUAAAGUGUCCCAUAUUUCUUUAGCACUUUGGCACUGCGAAACCCGAAAGAACUCAUCAUAGGAUAGGGCCGAUGUGAUGAUAUUUUUGGCACACAGGUUAUACUAAACCUUUUUGCGUUCAUCAUCGGUCCAUAGACUUUUCGGUUUAUCUUUCGGUUCAUCGUCCACUAAAUGUUGUGGAACGAAGGGCCCGUUGACUACAGAUUCCCAAAUAUCCGAGUCGAUGGCCAGUAUAAAGAUUUUCAUGCGAACUUUCCAGUAGGCAUAUCCUUCCCUAAGGAUCAUGCAAAUACGGUUGAGCUAACAUGUCGUACUAGUUCUGAUACCACUUGUUAGGUAUCAGUGACAUAAUACACCUAGAAGGAGGUUGAAUAGGUGUCGCGGUUUCCACUUACCGCUAUUUGCACCAAAGCCCUAUUCUGGAAACUUGCCCAGUUAAUCGAUUAAAGUUAUGACUUAAUCGAUUAAGUUGCAUAGAAUAAGCAGUUGCUGACUGGCUUAAUUACACAACCAAUUACAUAUAGCAGAUAUAUUUGAACACAAAUGAUCUUUAUUUGGCAGUGAUGCUAUAUUCAAAAUAUUAGCUAGAAUAGGCAAUUAAAACUACUAAAAACAGUAAAGAGAUAAAGGAAAGAAACAGCCUGCAACAAGGUUUUUAUAUUGGUUCAUUUUGCAGUCCACUACAAAACUACAUCCAGUCCUCCCCUUUGAUCCGGGAGAUUUUUCUUCACUAAAAUUGAAACCAAUAUGCCUUACAAACACACUUCCAAUUACAAGACCUUGAACGCUCCUUUCUUGAGUUCCCAGAACCUAUACCUUGGUUUGACCUUACCCAAUUGCCUAGGAAAACCUUUCCUAUGAUCCAGCCCUAGCCAAGAGUAUGCUCUAAACUCAAGACCUCCAAGUCUUUGUGAAGACUCUCUGAUCUCUUUGGUGGUACGACACCAAGAGACCCAAGAGACGACUUCCCUUGUUACACAAACAAUAAAAAAACAAAGUAAUGUGAAGCACUAAAAUGGCUCAAAUAUAACAAGAAAGAACAAGCUAUACACCUAUACAAAUCUCACAAUUACUAUGAAUAUGUAUGAGAUAAAAAUCAUGAAUAACAUGUAAUUUUCUACCCUUAAUAGAUCUCUUAAAUAAUAGUGAAAGAAUCAUGCAAGAACAAGAUAGCAUGAAGAACACAUUUGAUAAUAUGCAAUGGAUGGUAUAUUAAUCGUAAGCACAAUACUAUCUCACUCUAAUCUCACAUGCAAUUCCCACUUCCUAUAUGACAUACAUGAACAUGAAAAUACACAACUUAACAAUUCUAAUAUGAAUGUAUGAAUGUAUAAAAUCGUAUGUUAAAUCUGUUAAAGAAACAUUUUAUAUAGAAAAGUUGUUUUUCACCCAGUUAAUCGAUUAUGUUGCAUGUUAAUCGAUUAACGGACUGUUAGAGAGUAACUGAAAUCAGUUCUACAGUUAUCGGUUGAAACUGUUUAAAAACUGUUUUCGCGUUAAUCGAUUAAAGCUUUACUUAAUCGAUUAACUGGCAUAUUUUCAGUUAUGAUGUUAAUUGGUAAACUACCUAUAUGUUAUGUUUAUCAACUAUACAUGUUUUACCUUUAUGUUAUGCCUAAAAUGCACAAAUAACAUGUAUGAUUAAUCCAUGAACAUAUAAUAAACUAGAUGGCAUGCCUCAUGUAAAUGAUAUGAUAGUUUUUAGUCUUUGUGAGAUUUAAAUCUAGGUUUACCUAACCUAGACUCAAUAACUAAGACACAUCUACGACUUUAGUCUAGACAUGAAGCUCUUGAAUCUUUGGCAUGUUGAUUUGUUGAAUUGUCUUUAAGCUUUCACUCAGUCCUUUGUUUUCAUCAAAACAUAGGCAAGCAUAAAUGCACUCUUGACACAUUGCACUUUCAAAGACUAGUGGCAUAUGGGAUUUUCAUUUCUUGGGUCAUUCAUUAUCUGGGCAUUUAUGCUUCUAAUGAGGAGAUUAUGAAUGUGAAUUCCCGAAAUAACAUGGUAAGCGGCAAUCUGAUACAUAAGAUGGGAAUUUAUAAAUAUGAUAGAAAUUGGAAGUUCCAAGAAGAUCACACCACAGUGGAUCUGUAGAUGACAUAUGAAGAACAUGUUUGUAUUCCAAAUGAGCAGAACCCAUAACAACAACAUGAUGAGGCUUCAAAUGUGCCUCAUGAACCACUAUUUGGGUUAGCUCAUCUUGACGCCUUGGAGCAAUGUCUGAUUGCUCAUAUAGACACAUGCUUUCAAUCCUUAACGGAUAGUAUGAGGGCGGAGUUCCAAAGGCAAGAGGAAAGGAUGAUUCAAGAAAUGAAGCACAUUGUCUUCAUUAGCAUAACCGUUGGCGAUUUACCUCCAUCACCUCCACCUAACAACUAGUUUAGCUUAGGAUUACAUAGUUUGUCCUAGUUAGGUGUUAGUAUGUGUGUGUGUAUUUUGAGUUGUUAUAUUUUGUAAUAUAUUUGGUUAUGUUUGCAUUCAUAUUGCCUAACGCUUAUGUCUGUAUCCGUAUUGAACUUCAUACUUCUCGUACUAUGGUUUGUAUGCAAUUUUGUUUUAAUGUUUACCAUUUUAUUUUAAUAAGUGCCCGGUAUAUGCUAUUAUUUAUUAUAUCUUAAUUAUCUGGUCAUUUGUGCUAAUUGGUAGACAAAAUGAAUGAAUAUUUACUUAAAAGUGCUUUAAAAUUGCAUAUCCUGAAACCAUAAAAUCAUUCUAAUUAUGGUGCAUGAUAGUCAAUUAUUGUGAUGAGAUAAUCGAUUAUUAUCAGUAAACAUUGUUAAUUUGUUCAAUUCUUUUAAAUUGUUUGAUCAAACAUAACAGUUUCUGAUUUGAUUAAGUCAACAUAUACAAAUUUAUAUCUUUCCUUACUUUUGGCAAUAUUAAUCAUAAUAUUUCAUUGUUUUUUUAUCAUGCCAAAAGGGGGAGAAAGUGUUUUGAUAUUUUGCAGGUUGUGUUUAGAUAUGCUUCUGUAAACCUAGUUAUAGGGGGAGAUGAGAUGUGCUACCUAUACUAUCUCCUAUUCAGAUUGAAGGGGAGAGAAUGAAGUGAGGGGAAGCGGAGUUUUAUCAUCACAACCUUAGAAAAUCAUUGUUCAUCAUCAAGCUUAUCGAGUGAAUGUUUUUGAACUCUAUCAAAGUUUGUCAUUAUCAAAAGGGGGAGAUUGAUAAUGCAAUAGGACUCAAACAUUGCAAGUGUGGUAAAUGUACUUAGUUUUGACAAAGACAAUAACUUGAACAAGACAAAGAUUAUGUGAAAGCUUAAAGAUGAAGUUAACAAAGCAACAUGCCAAGACUCAAGGUUAUCAUAGAUUUAGGAUUCUUUUAUAUUUUAUAGAAGUCCUAAGUUGAUUGCUUAAUUUGAGUCUAGUUUAGAGGAACCUAGGAUGAAGGCCUCUAAAGAACUAAACUUGACUUAAUUAAGAUUGAGACAUUUCAUUCAUUCAUCCAUACAUGAUAAUAUAAUGUUCAUGCAUUGCACAUUCAUGAUUUAUUGCAUAAAAUGCAUAUAUUUUGAAUUCAUAUAUUGCAUAUACAUUCAUCAUGUAGGAGGUUCAUUCUUUAUAUCAAAGAAACUACUUUUCAACUCUCUUAAUUGACUAGCUUAAGAUGACAAUCCAUUUUAUUUUUAUGAAAUCUGAUAAUCGAUUAUGCAUAGUGAUAAUUGAUUAUUUAGAGUUCCAAUAACUAAAUAAUUUGUUCUUAUAAUAUCAAAAAUCAAUUAUCCAAAUUAAUAAUUGAUUAUGUCCAUUAGAUAUCUUGGUUUCAGCAUAUCAAUAAUCAAUUACCAGUCUAGAUAAUCGACUAGAUCAACAAAAAACUAUUUUUUAUAAAAAUUGUUUUUCUUCUCAUUGGUUCAGAAUUCGAGUGUUCAAAAUUUCAUAUUUUUCUAUGAACUCUUUGAGUGAAAUCUUCUGUGAUUUGAGUUAGUGUUUCUUUGAGAAUCAAGAGAUAAAAGUUAGCAAAAUUUUAUAUCUUUGAGAAAGUGCGUAUUGAUAAAACCUUGCAUAAAUCAUAUUAGAAACUAGGAGUUAUUGUAUGAUUUUGUUAUUGGGUUUUAGGUUUGAGAUCAUAGUCAUAUUAGCACAUUUACGUGCAUUAUUACUUAGAUUUAAUUUUUCAAUUUAGUUGAGGUAUUUGAAGGUUCUCAUGUGUCUUGAGAACCCAGUGUAAAUUCCUAUUUGCGAUUGGGUAGAGAUAUUCACUAUUACAAGGUUCUUGGAAGUUAGUUAGGAUUGGUUGGGGCUAGAACCAUAGGUGGUGAGGAUUAUCCAUAGAGGGUUUAGGGCCUAACUGAUCAAGGAUCUCUAUUGUCCAAGAAAGAAAGUUUUGUAUUGAUUGGAAGUGUGUUUUAUAAAAUAUAUUGAAUUUCAUAGCGAAGAAAAAUAUCUCAAGAUCAGACAGGGAGGUCUGGAUGUAGUUUGCAAGUGGACCCACAAAUGAACUAGGAUAAAAUUCUUGGUGCACUUUUCUCUAUCCUUAAUCUUUUUACUUUCUGUUUUUACAUAUAUUAGUUUUGAUUCUUUAUAAUUGCGUAUAUUGAAUCUUAAUCUGCAUAUUCUAUUUAGUAUACCAUUGUUAAGCAGUUGAAUCUUAAAGAACUAUUUCGUGAAACUUGUUCAACAAGAAGCCUAAGUUUUCCAGGAUUUCAAAGUUAUUGAAUAAUUGAUUGGUUCUAUGAAUAAUCGAGUAUCUGAAGUGAAUAAUUGAUUAACAUUUUAAAUAAUCGAUUAUCAUGAUGUCUAUUUUGAUAUUUGUGAUAAACCGGAAAAGUGUCUAUAUUGUAUUACUUCACCUAUUCACCCCCUCUAGGCGUGUAUACUCUGAUUUUACCCCAACAUCCCUAACAUCUAGUGCUCCUUUAUCCACAUCAACGGGUAGGUGUAUGAGUGAUAACCGACAUGAAAUUGGUAAGCAAUCACAUUUCGAGUCAUUCUUCGCAAGAAGUUUGAUUUCAGUUAUGUUCUUUUAUGAUUUGGCAUCUUUCAUGGCUAAUGUCAUAUGAUUAUCUGUGACUAUCUUCCACUUGUGAUCUUGGGAAUCAUCCAAAGAAUCUAGACUUUCUCUUUCAUUUAAAUUGUUGUAUUGUUCAAAACUUUUAAGUGGAGGUUUAGUAUAGAGAAGCACGUUUGAAUAAUGCCAACAAAUUUCUUUGGCUUCUCCAUUAAAUUUCCACUGGUCAUUUCCUAAAAAAUAGCCUUAGGUACAAAAUAAGAAAGAAAAUUGGACUAGUUAUUAAAAUCCUUGGUGGUGCUUUCGAUGGAAUCUUUUCUUGUCACAAACACUCUCCUCACAGUUGUAUCAUUAUUCUCACCAAGAAGCUUUUCUCCCUCGUUUCCCCAUUUAGAUUUUUAAUAUUUUUUUCCUAUCUUGGGUAAUCAUCGAAGCUCUUUCCUUCUUUUCAUUGUUAUUCCACACUGUUGGUCUGAAGGUGGAGGGACUUCUCCUUGUUGAACUCAUCAUCUUGAGUUGUUGAUUCACUUGGGUGGUCAUUUGCAUUAAAUCCUCAAACUCUAUGUACUCCUGAAGUUCAACAACAUCACGAAUUUCAUUGUUAAGUCCUCUAAGGAGUCGAGACAUAGUUACCUCCUAAUUUUCAUUGAUGUUGGCUAGCACCAUUCUUACCUCCAUGUCCUUGAAGUAAUCAUUGAAACUUCGAGUUCUUGGGUCAUAUUCUGAAGUUUGAGUCGGAGAUCCCUACUAUAUCUCGGCAACAAAUACCUUUUUCUCGUGUUUCUUCUGAUUUCUUCCAAAGUAUCCACCAAUGUUUCCUCAUCUAUUGUUCCAUAAUAAUAGAGUAUAUCUUAAUAACUUAGUCAUCAAUAACAUUACCUUCUACUCCUCGAUGUAUUGGUUGCAUGAAAAUACAUGUAAUAUUUUGAACUUCCAUUCCAAUUAUGCCUAUGGGUGAUUCUUACCUCAAAAAAUGGAAUAUUCAAAUUUAAUCCCUCCAUUUGGAUUUGCCUUGAAAGAUCCUCAUAGCCUUCUCUUAUUCCUCCCAUUCUCCUUUCCUGCAUGAAAACAUUGUCCAAUAUCUCAAAGCCUUCACAAAAUUUUGCGGCUUGUUGUCAAAGGAUCUCCUCAAAUUAUUUAGUUAAGACCCUCAUUUUGUUGACAUCCAAACCUUCACAUCCACCUAGAAUAAAUUCCUGACUUUCUUCAUCCGCCAUCUGCAACAAACACUAGUAAUCACAAAAUCAUAUCUUCACCUUUCUCCCUUAGCGUGUUUCACUCAAACUCAAGUCUAUGAUCUAUUUCUAGAUUUUUAAAUAAUGUUCUCUCUUGCCUUUUACCACUCAAGUGUUCUCUUGAAGUACUCAACUAAAUCAAUAAGGGACGAAAGUAUGACUGAAUGACCAAAAUGUUGGUCAGGGAAAGUGGACCACGAUGGGUUGUGGGUGAUUUUCUAGAGGCGACCACUAUUUGGGGCGUGUCUCAGGGCAGACUGUGUACUAUCACAAUGCAGACCAUUAAUUUCAGCCUUUCCAAAAUAGUUUUCCACACAACAAAACCAUAUGGAUAUAACGAGAUUUUGAACAAUAAAUUAUUUUCUUUUUUUCUUAUUAUAUAUUUUCUUUUUUUAGGCCAAACUUUUGGAUUGAUUCAUGCAAUACAAGUAAACUCAAAGAAAAUGAUAAACUAGAAAAAAUAAAGUGUUAUCAACAAAAGUAUGAUGCUUCAUAUGCCCUCCAUAGAGCUUACUCUAGAUAUCAUUUUAUGUUAAUCUCCUUCGGAUAUCUUUGAGAAUCACCACUCUAGCGGAAAGCUUAAGUGUUUGGACAUUUAAGAGUUAUUGGUUUGCUAAAAUAACGAUUAUGCACAAAACGUAAAUAGUAAGGUAAAAAAUGGAUUAGUGUAAGGUAAUAAAUGAAAUAAUAGAUUUCGAAUGGUGUGACAAGCAAGAAUGGUUUAUAAACUAGUGGUUAGACACCAUGAAGGGUGAUUAGACCAAGGAAAACACUCUCAAAAUAUGCAUUAAGCAAUAGUUUAAGAAAAAGAUACAAGUUGUUCAAUUCAUGAAAUAUGAGUUAAAUAUAAAUGGAAUCUAUCUAGACAAGAAGACAACCACCAUAAUGGAAAAGCAUGUUCAAGAAAGUCUUAAAUGCUUUGUCUCCCACUUAGUGCCUCUAAAGCAAGGAAGAGGAAAAGCGGGAAAACUCACAAAUCAAAAUUAAAAAUGUUGGUUCAAGCUAGAAGGGUCUAUAACCAUUAAUCAAAAAAGGAAAUUAUAAUUAUUCAUAAAAUUGUGAGAGAACAAAAUAAUCGAAAUGACGCACAACCAAACUGUGUGGUUUCCGAUGGUCGUUGGCCCCACACAAUGGGAAAUACAUCAUGGUCAUCUUCUAGGACACAACCAUGCUGACAAGAACUCUUCCCUUAGCCUCUUGGUGUUAAUUGUUUAUUUCUUUGAUCCUAUAAAGAUUUUUCUUGAUACUUGAAAACCCUUAAUUGGUUAUGAGUAGUUUACCUUUGUCUCUUUAAUCAAAUGAUAUUUAGAGGAUCAUAUCAUCCCCUCCUUCAUGAAGAAUAUUUUCUCUAAUAUCUAGUGCUCAUUUAGCCACGUCAAAAGGUAGGUGUAUGAGUGAUAACCUAAAUGAAUUGGUAAGCACUCACAUUUCAAGCCAUUCUUCGCAAGAAGUUUGACUUCAGUUAUAUUCUUUGUUGCUUCAACAUCUUUCAUGUUUAACACCAUCUCAUGAUAUAUGAUUAUCUACCCCUUGUGAUCAUGGGCUUCAUCCAAAGAAUUUGGAUUUUCUAUUUAAUUUAAAUUUCUAUAUUUCUCAUAAUGUUUAAACAUAGCUUUAGUGUAGAGACGUUCGCUUGGAAUAAUGCCAUUGACUUUCUUUAGCUUCUCCAUUAAUGUCCCACAUGUUAUUAACUGCAAAAUAGACUUAUGCACAAAAUAAGAAAAAAUUAGACUAGUUAGUAUAAUCCUUCAUGGUGCUUUUGGUGGGAUCUUUUAUUGUCACUAACACUCUCCUCACAGUUAUAUCACUAUUCUCACCAAGAAGUAUUUUGCUCUUUUUACCUUUUUUCUAUUUUUACUAAUUUUUCCUAUCUUGGUUAAGUUUUUUUUUUUCUUCGGAUUUUCACUUGAUAUUCAAUCACCUCUUUCGGGGACAAAGCAUUAAGAAUUAUCUUUUAUUUUGGUAGGGGAAAGUAAUUUUUUUGGUGAAGCCAUCAUAAAUGGCUAAGGUGUCAUUCUGGCAUGGUUGCCCUAAAAGAAUAUGACUGGUAACCAUAGGAACUAUAUGGCAUAAAACAUUGUCAUAAUACUACCAUGUGGACAGAGAUAACUCUUAUUGCUCAGUCACCCAAACCUCCCAAUCAUCACCAUGACAUUCUGGUUUAUAAGAUUUAGGGUGUGGUUUGGUGCUUAAAUUUAGGUUCAACUCUAAUCAUGCACUAGCUACAUUUGGACAACUCCCCCUUCAUUUAUUAGAGUACAAAAAUUCUCAUCCAUUAAACACCUUGUAUUGAAAAUGUUAUCUCUUUGGGUUUUAUCUAACAUAUGUACUUGACUUCCUAAAAUUAUCCUAAUAAUAAAGAAAUAUCCCCUCAAUGGAUCAACUUCUUCCUCAUAAUCACUAGUGUAUUCCCCGUUUCCUUAAGAAUAAUGACUCUUUUCGUUGCAUACUCAUGAGCACAACGCACUCUAUCCUAACAUUAAAGCAUUUCUUACCACUAGACUUGCUCAUAGGAGGUGACUCAUUUGUUUUCAUUGGGGACUUUCCACAAGAACUAGAAGUUUUAGGACUAGGUAGUGAAGCUCUCUUCUGUUUUUUUUUUGUUAUUCCACAUUGUUGGAUUGAAUUUGGAUGAAUUUCUCCUUGUUGAACUACUUAUCUUGAGUUGUUGUUCCACAUGGAUGACCAUGUUCAUUAAAUCAUCAACCUCCAUAUACUCUUAAAGUUCAACAACAUCAUGAUCUCGUUGUUAAAUCCACUAAGGAACCGAGGCAUAGUUAACUCCUUAUCUUCGCUGAAGUUGGCUAGCAUCAUUAUUACCUCUAUGUCCUUGAAGUAAUAAUUGAUACUUCAAGUUCCUAGGAACAUAUUCUGAAUUUUGAUUCAAAGAUGCCUAUAGUAGAUGAGUGAGACAUACCUCUUUCUCGUGAUUCUUCUUAUCUCUUUUCGAGUAUCCACCAAUGGUUCCUCAUCUAAUAAACUUUCUCUUUGGUAGUUUUUAUAGAACAUCAAAGCAUAUCUUAAGAACUUAGACGUAGCUAACUUUACCUUCUACUCCUCAUUGUAUUGGUUGCAUGAAAUACAUAUAAUAAUUUUAACUUCCAUUCCAAGUACGCCUUUGCGUAAUUUUACCUUGGAAAGAUGAAAUAUUCAGCUUAAAUCCCUCAAUUUGGAUUAACCUUGCCACUUCGUCAUAGCAUUCCCUUCUUCCUCUCCAUCUCAUUUCCUACAUCAAGACAUUGUUCAUUUUCUCAAAGGCUUCAUGAAAUUUAUCAGCUUGUUGUUUAAGGAUCUUCUCAAGUUGUUAAGUUCAGGGCCUCAAUGGUUGAGAAUCAAAACUUUGCUUUCACCUACGCUAACUUCUCAACCUUCCUCAUCCGUCAUCUAUAACAAACAUUCACAAUCACACAAAAAUGUAUCUUGACCUUACACCCUUUAUCAUGUUUCACGCAAACUCAAGUGCAUGCACUCUUGUUUGGAUUUUUCAAUAAUGUUUAUUCUUGUCCUUUACCACUCAAUUGUUCUCUAAAAGUUGGCAACUAAAUCUAUUAGGGGCGAAAGUAGAAUUGAAUCAGCAAAAUUUUGGUCAAGUAACUACACCUUUGGUCAUUUUAUUUUCCAUUUUUCUUAUGAUAUCUUUUUUUUUUUCGAGGCCUAACGUAUGCAACGGUUCAUGCAAUACAAGAAACCUCAAAGAAAACGAUUAAAUAGAAAACAGAAAGUGUUACCAACAAAAGCUUGAUGCUUCAUAUGCUCUCCCUAUAACUGACUCUAGAUACAAUUUUAUGUGAACAUCCUUAAGAGAUUCUUGAAAAUAGUUGCUCUAGCGAAAAGCUAGUAUUUGGACAUUUAAGGAGUAUUGGCUUGGUAAUACAACUAUUAUGCAUAAAAUGUAAAUAGUAAGGUAGAAAAUAGAUUAAUGGAAGGUAGAAAAUGGAUUAAUGGAAGGUAGGAAAUAAAUGAUGGAUUGCAAUUAGUGUGACAACCAAGAAUUGUUGAUCAUCUAGUGGUUAGACACCACGAAGGGAGAUCAGGCCGAGGAGAAUGCUCCUCACAAUAUACAUUAAACAGUAGUUUAAGAAAAAAGAUACAAUUUGGUUGAUUCAAAAUAUCUGAGUUAAACAUAGUGGGAAACUAUCUAGAGAAGAAGGCAGUCACCAUAAUAAAAAAGAAAGUUCAAGAAAGUCUUAAAUGACAAGUCGCUACUUGGUGCCUUUGGGAAAAGGAAGAGGCAAAGAUGAAAGCUCAUACAAUCAGAAUUUAAAACAUUUCUUCAACUAGAAGAGCUUAUUACCAUUUAUCGAAAAGGUAAAUUACAACUAUUCAUAACAUUAUGAGAAAACUGAAGAGCUAGUGUGACACACAAUCCGACUGUGUACUUCUAUACAACCAUGGGGAUACCCAAUGGGCAACAUAUCUUGGAAGUGUUCUGGGACAUAACCAUUUCGACACGAACUCCUUCCUUGGCUUCUUGGUGUCGUUUCUUUAUUGAUUUGAGCCUACAAAGGUUGUUAUUGGUAUUUGAAGACCAUUGAUUUGUUAUGAGUAUUUUGUCUUGAUCUCUUGUAUCAAAUGAUCUUGUGAGGAUCACAUCACCAUUCAUCUUUAUUACAAUAACAUUUGUCUUCAUCCUCAUACUCAACAUCAUCAUCAUUCAUCCUCUACUCAAUUACCAUUCAUCGUCAAUCAUUUUUCAAACCUCAUAACCACAAACCCUAAAACACCAUGCUUUAUCAACCCCAUAUCUUACUCUAACUCAUCUUCUUUAUCAACUCGGUUCCCAUAACCUAAACCCCACCAUCUUGGUUCCCCUAACCCCAAACCACAUCAUCCAUUCACUAAACACUACCUAAACAUAUUAGAAUGGAAAAUUAAAAUGUUUGAUGAGUCAUGUUAAUAGGUUACUACCCAUUAACUUUGGGUCUAUAUAAACACAUAGAUAAGGAGACACAAGUAGACAUGAGAUAUACCUCAACAACUGAUGCAACACUCCUUUCGUGAUCCUUGUUGAAUGAUUGUUAUAGUGGAACGCUUAUAUAUUUGGGUGUUUAGGAGUAUAUGAUUGUAACCUAACUAACAUGCAGUACCAUAAAAACAAGGUUGGGGAUGGAUUUUUGGAAGGUAAGAAAUAGAAAUGGUGAAUUCAUGUGGUGCAAGAAUUGAUGAUACCAGAUAAACAAUGAUUAGACGCUAUGAAUGGUGAUUAGAUUGAUGAUAAGACUCGAGAUCGAUUCAUCUAAGAACCAAGGAUAUCACUCCUCACAAUAUGCACUAAGAAAUAUCUUUAAGCUAUAAUUCAAUGUGUAUUCAUUCAGCAGUUUUGGUAUGAUUUUCCAAGUUUGGUGCACGAAAGAUGUUUUCUUUUUAUACUAAUCAUGUAAAACCCUUGUAUCAUAUUACCUUGGUCGACCCAAAAGGACAUGGAUAACUUCCAUGGGUACUACAUAACACUACACUUUGUAACUAUAAUUUCAUAUGGAUAGCUCUAGUUCAAGUUGCAUUGGCACAACUCCCCCUUCAACUAUUAGUUAACAAAUGUUCCUACUUAUUAAGCACCUAGUAAGGAAAAUAUUCUCUCCUUGGGAGUUCUCACCAUCUCUCACUACAUUACCCAAAAGUCUCCUAAUCAUGAAGAGAUCUCUACUCAUAGGGACAAAUUCUUCCUCACUCUCAAUCCCUUUCAACUCUCCGUUAUCGAAUUCAAUAGUGUAAUCUCCAUUGUCUUUGAGAAUGAUCACCCUCUUUAUUGAGCACUCAGAAGCAUAAUGCCCUCUUCCUGCACUUUUGAAUUACUUCUUUCCACAUGAACCACUUUUGGUUGGUGAAACACUCCUUUUUGCUAGGGUUUUCUAUGUUGUGUAGAUGUAUUGGAGCUAGAGGGCAUAGUUCUCGAUUUCCAAGAAUUCACUUGAAUCCUCAUUGUCCUUUUUGUUUCGACAUGGGUGACUAUGUGGAGUAGGUCCUCCAUCUCCAUGAAUUCAUCUAACUCAACAACAUCUUGUAUAUCAUUGAGAAAACUCACCAUAGUGACCUUCUUAUCUUCAUUAAUCCUUGCCUGCAUCAACGUUGCCUCCAUAUCCUUGUAGUAAUCUUCAACAAUCGAUGUGCCUUGAGUUAAUUUAUAAAGCUUAAGUUAAAGCUUCCUAUUAUAACUUGGAGAUAAAUAUCUCUUUCUCAUGAUAUGCCUCAUCUCCUCCGAAGUAUCUACAUUGGUUCUUCCUCUUGCAUCCUCUCACGUUGAUACUUGUUCUACCUAAUCCAUGCAUAUCAAGAAAACUAUGUGGCUACAAGCUUCACCUUUAGUUCUUUCGUGAGAUUGUUACAUGAGAAGACAUGAGAAAUUUUCAAUUUCUACUCGAAGUAUGCCUCUGGGUCAUUUCUCCCUUAGAAGGGUGGAACGUUGACUUUGAUUCCUUCCAUCCAAUUCUGCCUUGGGACCUAUCAGAAUCAUAUCUUCUUCAUUUUCACCUCCUUUUCUCCGCAAGUUCAUUUUCUUUUUGUUCCUACUCCUCAUAGAAUUGGCUCGUUUUCUUCUUCUUUCCUCCGCAAGAAUGGUCUUGAACUACUUAUUCAAAAAGGGAAACUAAAAUUAUUCAGAAAAUUGCAAGAAAAACGUAAAGUUGCCUGACCACACAGGCAUGCCUUGGAUGGACCCACGGCUCGUGUUAGCAUGACUCCUUAAACUUCUCAAUUAAAAGCAUUGCUCUUGUCUCCAAGUUGUCUUCCUUUGGUUGGGCUUCAAUUAGGACCAUCACAACUUGUUGUUAUCUAUCUUCGGCUCUUCUUAUUCUUGACAUGGGUCCUCCUAAGUAUUUUAGUUCCUGGUGUUGCUUGUCAUUGUCCAUGUCCAUGUCCACAUUAGUGAGUAUGAAAUAACUAGCCAAAAAAUUAAAUUAGAAAGAAAUUAAAAGCAACUCUAAAUUGAAAACCGACUUUAAAAUUAAAUAAAAAUAUUUGAGUAUUACAUGGGAGUUAUUUCAGUACUUCACGAUGGUUCAUAUCUAUAAUUGUAGCCUAACCAGAAACAACCAAAGGUAAUCGUUGAAAAUUUUGCAUAUAAGCCUUCCCAACUAACGAGAGACUCAACAGAAUCCAUACACAAAGGGGGUGGAAUAACAAAAAUGAAGGAAGUGAUAUGAAUUUUAGAAAACUCAUAAAUGAUAUGUGUGUUAAUGGCUUCCACAAAAAUUCACUUAUCACUACAUCAAACCGGGCUUCUCCCACAUGUAUUUUUUAUAUUCAGAUAGGUUGUUGGCAACUUGGCGAAAUAAACUUUUAUGUUGGAACAUAUGCAUGUCAAAAUGAAUUUUUACCUAAGGUAAGUGUCUAUCGCAAUUUAUUUUUACAUUCGGACAUGUGUCUGUCAGAAUGUAUAUUUACACUCAUACACGUAUGUCAAACUAAUUUUGCAUUUAUUCAGAAUGUAUUUCACCAUUUGCAUUCAAACAUGUGCUUGUUGGAUUGUAUUUUUACACGCAAAAAAUGGGGUACAAAAUUAAAAAUAAAUUGAGUAGAAAAAGCAUCUCCAAAUUAUUAGCUUCGGUCUAGGUUGGGCCAUAUCAAGAUUAGUCGAAUUAUGAGAGGAAUGCAUUCUCACCUAUAAAUAUUAUAAAGAUAAAAAGGGAUUGGACUCAUUUCAUUUUAUCUACGCUACUCAAAGUAGUUUUAUAACAAAUAGCUUUGAAAUGCUAUAGGUUCACUUCAAAAAUAAUUAUAAACUAGCAUCUCCAAGUAAUUUUUGUUUAGUGAGUGAUUCUGGUAAGUUAUUAACUUAUUCAAAAUGUUACAAACUUCCUUAAAACUCCUAGUUCAUUAUGUGGAACAAUACCAUAGUAAUAAAGAACAAAAUUGUGGGUAAAUACAAUUUUGAUCAUUAUAAAUAUUAGUUGUUUAAAUUCCAUAUGUAAAAACAAAUUUGAGCUUAAUUAUGAACUUUCCUUUUCAUUUUAGUUUGGUCUAGAACGUCAAGUUUGGAAGGAAUGUGGUGACAUCGCUUAAUAAAGUUGGCGUAAACAACAUGUGAUUAUAAGACCAAAAUAAAUAAAAAACUCCUUACUUUAUUAUAUAAAUUUAAAUCCUAAUUUACAAAAGAAAACAAAAAUUAUCCCUUUAUAAAAAAAUUAUAAAUUUUCGUGGAUUACUACCUUUUUCUACUUUAUUCUUCCCAUUAUUAGAAUUACCAACAUCUCUACUUCAUUAUCACCUUUAUCUCAAUCAUCUACAAUGUAUUCAUUUUCUCUGAAGAGGAACGUGAAUACAUAGCACUCACCUAAAACUUUCUCAUGGAUAAAAUGCAUGUUUACUACUCUCGGGUGUCGACCGCGAGAUUCACAAUCAUAAUCCAUUAGUUGCCACUCCCAUAAACAAACGACUUCAUAUUGGAGGAAGUGGGGAAGAAGAGAAUGAAAUUUUGUUUUAAAAUAGAUUUGUUUUAUUUUUUAAAAAUAAAUAGAGGAUUUUUAUUUUAUUCGAAGCAUGACUUUUUUACAUAAGGCCAUCUUGGUGCGGAUUAGACUUGAUACAUAAGGCCAUGUUAGUAUUUUUUUUAUCUAAACUUGAUACAUCAAUGAUUAAAAUUAAAAUGGAAAAUAAAUUUAUAGACCAAAACUAAAAAAUUAAAUGCAAGAACAAAUCUCAAAAAAAUCAAUAUAUAUAGGCACCAAAAACCUAUUUAAAAAGUGAUAUUACAGAAGAUAUUUUGGAAAAUGUGCAUUCAAAGGGUGCUACAUUUUCUAUUUUAAAGUUUUGUAUUAUUUAUGUACUAUUUGUUUCUCUUCAAUCGGAAAAGUAAAGAAAAAAUUAAUAUAUAUUAACUUUAUAUUGUUUGACCAAUAAUAACAAAAAAGUACAAGAAAUUGUAUAUAUUUUGAGAUAAAAGAUGUAUUCCUAAAACAAGUUGGGGUCAAUUUUUCAUAACUCUGUUUUUAAAGGUAUUGGUCAAUCACAUUUCUACCAAAAUUAGGGGGAAAAUCAUAUUUUCUAUUUCCCAUCCGACCAGUCUAGCUCCCUAAUUGCUUCAUUUCUUCCUUUAUACAUUUCAUCAUUUUAAGAACUAUUUAAGCAUUGCUGCCAAAUGUUCUUCUAUAAAGAAGAAAAUCACAGUUCAUAAUCAAAAUUAUACGUUAAAUAGUUUUUUCUUGAAUGAUUGAAACAAUUAAUAGAUUUUACAUAGAGAGUGAUUGAAAUGAGAAUAAUUUUUAUAUAAAAACUGUUAGAACAAUAAAUUUAAAUCUUGCAACCAUAUAUGAAUGACUAAGAAUAAAAUUUAGUUAUUAGUCACAUGAUAAUCAUGUAUACACAUUUUUUUAAUAAUGAUCGCUCCAAUAAGUUCUAAUAGUUCAUAUUAAUUGUUCAUGUUUUCAACACUAACAAUUGUUCUCAGCAUAUCAACAAAACAAUCUAGCCAACAACUUAAAACUCACUGCACAAAUUCCGUGCAUGAUAAGCUAAACAAACAUUAUUAGAACAUUUGAGUAACAAGAGCACAUAAAAACUAGGCAAUAAUGCAGUUCAUGCAAUAAGGAAAAAGAUUAAAACCAGCACAAAUACUCACACUUGAGCUAACAAGUGAAUCUCACCAAUCAACAAGGAAAGCAAGUUUUCCCUAAAAGAUGUCCUUGUUACCAUGGCAUAGACCAUUUUAAUCACUAUAGGACACCUAAAAAGCCACGUAAACUAGAUAUAUUGAGGAGUUGCUGAUAAAAGAUGAAGCAUCAAGCUUCAUCAUUAACCUUCAGUCUAGUUCAUGCCUAGAUUUUGUCAAGCGUAUUUGCCUUCAUUACGAGGUUGGCUUUAGCUAUAGCAUCAUGGAGGAAAGCCCUACAAUCUUGUUCCUGCUUAAGCAGCAUGUCCUUGUAACACUUGGAACACUUGUUCAUGGUAGCACCCUUCUGAAAAAGCCACAAAUAUUAAUUCAAAAUGAAUAUAUAGUCUUGCCAAACUAAUCUUAGAUUGUUUUAUUGAUAUGCUCUUCAGUAUAAAUAAAAUGAUCAUGUCAUUACCUUUGAAUCAACAAAACUACAACCUUUAGCAUUGGAAUUUGUAAAUUGACCAAUAACAAUGUUGGAUGGGGAUCACAUAUCUUCAUUCAUGUCUCACUUUGUGUCCUCAUCUAAUAAAAAAAUCUUAUUUAAUUGAAAAUAAAAAUUAUAUUAUCAUAAAUUAUUAUUUGUACAUUAUUCUAUGAAGCUUAAUUGACUUGGUACAUGUGAACAGGAUUUUCUUAGGACAUAUGAUCUUUAUCCAACAAUGUUAUUAUACCUAAAAAGCAUAGUGUUAUAGACAUUCAACUUAACAUAGAAAAUGAACAAAAACUAAUGGAUUAAUGUCUCAUUAGCAAAAUACCUUGUUUGGUUUAAACAUGUACAUUUAGGUUUUUUGUGACCUUUCUUCUUACAAUUACUACAAGUAGAGGGGGCCUUUCUUGAGUAGCCCAGCCCUUCAGUUGUCACAAUUGGAGGAUUACAUAAUGUUAUAGCAUUAUUCGAGUCUUUUAGGAUAAUUUGGGUUGUAGGAUUACUAAAAUCUUCCUUUGAUUCUUCAACUUCCAACUGAACAAAGUAUUUUAAUUUUUGUAUACCUUGAACUACAACAUCACGAUUCUUUUUUUACUGUUAAGCUCUUACAAAUAGUUCAAGAGAGUGAAUCGUAACAUUGUUAAACAGUUAAAUUAUACUUUUAAAUAUCUCUUUUAGAUUUGAUACGGUGUGGACAUUAGUUUCUAAUGCUUCAUUUUUUCUUGAAGAGAAUAACAUUAUUUUAUAUAUAUCUUUGAGAUUUGGUGUGGUGAGGAUAUUAGUUUAUCUUGCUUCAUUUAUCUUGAAGACAAUAUAAUUUUAAUUAUUUUAAAGAUCUCUUCAAGAUUUGAUUUUUGUAUACCUUGAACUACAACAUCACGAUUCUUUUUUUACUGUUAAGCUCUUACAAAUAGUUCAAGAGAGUGAAUCGUAACAUUGUUAAACAGUUAAAUUAUACUUUUAAAUAUCUCUUUUAGAUUUGAUACGGUGUGGACAUUAGUUUCUAAUGCUUCAUUUUUUCUUGAAGAGAAUAACAUUAUUUUAUAUAUAUCUUUGAGAUUUGGUGUGGUGAGGAUAUUAGUUUAUCUUGCUUCAUUUAUCUUGAAGACAAUAUAAUUUUAAUUAUUUUAAAGAUCUCUUCAAGAUUUGAUUUUGUACAGAUAUUAGUUUUUGUUUCUUUAUCUGUCUCGAAGAUGAAAUUUUUUUAACUAUGUUUUUAAAUAUCUCUUUGAGAUUUGAUGCAGUGCGGACAUUAGUUUCUAUUGUUUCGCCUUUCAUAGAGUGGAUAAAUAAUAGACCAAAGUUAUUUCUAAAUCAAACAAAUCAAAUCGAUCAAUAAAAUAUUUUACCUUAAUAAAUAAAUUUGUUUAAGGGCAUAAAAACCUAUGCUAUUAGUGAGGGUACCAUUUUAUGACAGGAGAACGAAGUGCUAAUAUUUUCCUUGAUCCAUAAUUGCCUCUCGAGCUCAAAAUCAUGUUCAAAAGACCACGUUAUCCAAUUUGGGCUUAAAAGAGAGUUUUUUUAUGUUUUAACCGCAAAAAGUGGUAACUUCAAAUCAUUUGGGAGAAGUGGAACUCAAGUGCACCUCUUUCUAAAUCAUAGAGCCGGUCUUCCUAAGUCAAUCAUUGUGUCCCAAUCAGACUCAAAAUCUUCAAUAGUAAUUGAUUGAUGAAUGCGCCUAUCGAAUUGAUUUUUAAAUUCAUCUUGUUCGUCAUAAAUAUAUGAUUCAAGUACUAUAGAGCUUUUUUAUCAAUAUGCCACAUACAAUAAUGACGACUAAUCUUUAGAAGCACCCUUGCAAUUUCAUUGGUGAUAGUAGAAUCUUAUACUGUGAUAAUUGAUUGAAGACUAACUCCAGACAUUGCUUCUAUACAAGUAUUAAUAAUCAAACGUAUAUUUCUUAUGUUUCAUCCCAUAAUAGAACACAACAAAAAAGAAUUGAUUGUUGAAGAUGAUUAACUCCACUAAAUUGAACAAAAGGCAUUAUGUAUCUAGUAGUUUUAAGUAUGUAGGAUUAAAAGUUACUACAUCACCAAAAUACUUGUAAGCCAUUCUAGAUAAUCAAUCCAAAAUCAAUUUUCAAAUUUUCCUUCAAAAUCCAUGUUGGAUUUAUUCAAGUGUGAAGUCUCACAUUGGAUAUGCGGGGAGGAGUGAAAGAGCCUAUAAUUAGAAAAGACCAUAGAACUAAUGUCUUAAGGUUUUGGUUUAAGACGUGAUGUCUCAAUUUUUGCUCUUCAAUCUUCCCACACCCUAGUAACAAUGGAACUCCCCGAUGGUUAGAGGUUUCUCGGCAUAGUCUAGUCCAACAAGUGGUAUCAGAGCUGAUGGUUUAGUUGAGACAUAAUGGACUUACGGGGGAGUGGACUGGAAAGUGUGUGAUACCCACACUUUAGGGGGAGAUUGUUGGGUUUAUUCAAGUGUGAAGUCUUACAUUGGAUAUGCAGGGAGGAGUGGAAGAGUUUAUAAGUAGAAAAUGUCCAUAGAACUAAUGCCUUAAGGUUUUGGUUCAAGACAUGGUGUCUCACUUGUGGCUAGAGAUGUCAAAACGGGCCGGUCCGCCAAAGCAUGAAAAUUUAUAGGGCUUGGGUAUCAUAUUAGGUACUUUUUAUAGAAUCUAGGCUUUUUAGCCCGGCCCGACCGGGCUAUUUUAAAUCCAGGCUCGGGUCGGGCUUACCUGGGCGGGUUCGGGCUACUUGUUUUCCUUAUUUGUUUUAAUCUUUUUUGGGACUUUUGGCUUAGUAAUAAGCAUUAUGUGAAAACUUACAAAACAAGUUAUAAUAAAAAGUAGAUAAUAAGUAUUAUGUUAUGAACUUUGAAUAAAAAAUAGAGUAAUUCCUAAACACAAAUAUUUAUAAAUUACAAUAAUAUUAUAAAGUUAAGCAUUAUAUUAUUUUUCCUAUUUUUGUGGAAUAUCCUUUUAAUCCCAAUAACAAAAUAAUGUAUCAAAUCAAAUGAGAAAAUAUUAAAUCAUAUAGAUUUCAAUUUACCUUUCUUAAUUGUGUAUUUAAUUAUAUUUAACUUUCAUAACAAAAAUAUAGUAAAAAAAUAACGUUUACAACAAAACUAAAAGACAACAUAAUUGUUUACCAAAGAGAACUCCAUACAACCAAAUUUAAUAUUAUAGUUCACAUUGAAAAUGUUGAUAAAGAACAACAAAAGAUAAUAGUUUUGAUAGUAUCCAAAGGUUUAUAUAUUAAAGUGAAGUUACAAAUUAUGUUGUGUUAGGGAGUGAGAAUCAAUUGAAAUAAGAGAUUUAAUAAAAGAGUUAUGUUAAAAAUAAUACAUAUGGACUUGACAUCACGUAUUAACUCAAAUAUAAGGCAUUAGAUCUGUAAAUUUGGUUGUAUUUGAUAUAACAGAUGUGUUAAAAAAGUUACACGUAUAUAUCAAAUGAUAUAUAUUUUAUUACAUAGAUUAAAUAUGUUAAAAUUUUAAAAAAAAUAUUUUUUAGUUUAUGCGGGCCAGCCCACCAUAACCCAUAACCCGCUUAGGAUGGGUUUGGGCUACAAUUUGAUAUGCAUAAAUUGUAUCUGGGCUUUUUAGCCCGGCCUAGUUUAGCACGAACCCAAUAUGGGCUAGCUCGAACCUAUCCGAGUAGCCCGUUUUAACACUUCUACUUGUGGCUCUCCAUUCUUCUCAUACUCCGGUAAUAAUGGAACUUCCUGGUGAUUGGAGGCUCUCUGGUGGUUGGAGGCUCCCUGGUCACAUUCUGGUCCAAUAGUUCAUUUGAAAUGUAUUAAAAAAUCAAGAUUUUUCAAUUGACAAUUCUGAAAAAUACAACAGCAUUAACUGAGGAAAUCAAACAUUAUCAAUACCGUCACUUUCAACGUAUAGUAUAUAUAGUAUUUUGCUACGGGAAAAACCAGAAUCAUCGAGCACGUCAAUAAGUUUAUUUUGCACUUUAGUUUUCCACUACGCCAUAAUAGUAAAACAACAGUGCUGGAAAUUUUCAUUCAACGACGCUUUCAAGCAUUGUCUAUGUUAGCGCAAUAGAAAGAUUUCAUAGAGUUUUUGAAGCGCUGUAGAAAAUAGACAUUUAACACUAAAAUGAGUACUGUUAAAUGUCUAGUUUCUAAAAAAGACAAUAUCUCUCCUAGACAUUCUAUCAAACACAUGACAAGCAUGCCCAACUUCACCACAUUUACAAUAGAAACGUCAUUCUGAAAACUCAAUUUUUAUAAACCAUUGCAUGCACUUGUCUCCCUUGGUUCAAAUCCAUUAACCCAUAUUAUUAUAUAUACUAAUGAAAGAGACGAAAGUGGUAAAUAUGUAGAUGACUAAUCCAAGAAUUUGUUGUCUCUCUUAACUUUAGAAAUAAAAGGCUUUCUUAUCAACGACAAAAAACAUAGUUUAAAUUUAACAUUAUAGGAAUCAAAUCAAAAUUUACACAAAAAAUAAGGAUGAAAAAAUAAUAACCAUAUAUAAGAAAUACACACAGAUAUUACAAGUUUGGUAAAUCACCAACGGCUCCAACUAGAUUCAACAUUGACAGAUUCUUAUAUUAUAAAAUAACUAGAUAACAUAAAUAUAAAUGCAAGUAGUAAGAGUAAAUCAAAGAGAAAUAAAUGAGGUAAAAUAAGAUAACUAUUCAUCUUAUGCUUGAAGAGAGAAAUCAAAAACAAAAGAGAAAAAAAGUUAACUCAUGGAGAACAAAGAGAAUAAGAGAAAUAGAAAACUAAAUGAUAUGUAUAUUAUUGUAUGUAAAGUUUUGUUUUUAAACCUGCAAAGAUUCGUGCGCACUAAAAAAGUGUUGUUUGAAUGUAUAACCAUUAACACUGCUCACUCAAGCAAAUGUUGUUAAUUGUGUGACUUUUAACAACGCUCACUAAAGCAAGCGCGGUUAAAUGUGUGACUUUUAACAGCGCUCACUAACGCAAGCAUUAUUAAAUGUAUGAAUUUAUGACUUUUAACAACGCUCUUUGAAGCAAGCAUUGUUAAAUUUAUGAAUGUGUGAUUUUUAAGUGCUCACUAAAGCAAAUGUUGUUAAAUAUAUGAAUGUAUGACUUUCAACAAUGCUCAUUAAAGAGAUCGUUCUUAAAUUUGUGAAUGUGUGACUUUUAACAACGCUCACUGAAGCAAAGGUUGUUGAAUGUGAGAAUGUAUGACUUUUAACGAUGCCCAUUGAAGCAAACAUUGUUGAAUGUAUAUUCACCUAUCAUAUUUAACGAGGCUUACUUCACCUAGCAUUGUUGAUUUCCUUCCGCCUUAUAUUUAACAACAUUCAACACUUGUUGUUAAAUGGUUGUUGUUAAAUGUCAAUUCUGGCGUAGUGUUCUUUUGGUGCACUCAGAUAAAUUGUGAACUUCAUACGAAAAAAGGUUGGUGAUUAUGGUUGCUUAAAAAUCUAAAAAUAAUCCAUAUAUCUUCUUUUUCAUUUACAUAUAUCAUUGUCUUGCAUCAUACCCUUAUUUCAUCACACGAUGCAUAUCUUUUAUUUUCAUUCACUACAAGAAAAUUGUGAUAUACCUACAGACAUGUAUAGUGAUAGACAUUAAAAUGUAGGUAUAUGUAUCUCAUACCUACAUAUGUUUCAUAAACUGUGGGUAUGGGUGUUAUGAAAAGUUUCUUUUCAAUUCUUAUUACUUUCCCUCUCUUUUUUUCAUUCUAUUAUUUGAACUUUCUUUCGCUUGUUCAUUUUCAAUUAUAUUUCACAUGUUUUUUCCAAUAAAAACUUCUUAAAACUCUCUAAUCAACAAAAAAAAAGUAGCAAACCCUAUCCUUCAAUUACAUCACUCUCAACUUUAAAAACUACAAUCCCUUUCUCCCUCAGUUGUGUCUCUCUUCAAAAAUAUUAGCCUCCUUCUUCUUCUUCCACCAACAACAUCUAUUGCUUUUACUCUUUAUGGUUUGUGGAUUGACAUGGACACCAUUCUCAAUUUUCUAUUUCCUUUUACAAUUCCUCAUUUGGGUUUUGAGAAUUUUUAUUACAAAGUGUUUUUUAUUAGUUGUUAACUUGUUAUGUUUAUUGUCUCCUGUAACUGUGAAGAGUGCAUAAUUUGUGACAUUUGCACUGAAGUGAAAAAAGAUAUAGUACACUUGUUCUGGUUUGGUUUUGUUGUAAAAUGGAGAUGCAAUGAAUCCAAAAGUAUUACCUCAACUCGUAGUCACUAUUAUUGUUCAUGUUCAAUAAUGUGCUAAUUAUAAACAACUUAAAAAAGGUAGGUUCAUUUACUCUUAUUCUUAUUCUAUUUAUAAAUUGUUUUUAAUUUGUUUAUGUAUGUUUCAAAACCAAAACUCUGAACAAAUGUCAUUCUGAAUUUAUUGUCAUAACUGUUGAUAUUGAGACUCUUGAGAUUCUCCUUCACUUUCCACUCCUUUAUGAAGAUAAGGUUUUAUUUUUCAUUCUCAUUAUCUCUCUUACUUGGAUUUCAAUGAUUUUCCUAUUAUCUUGCAGUACUAGUGGAGUUCCACAGUGGCCCAACUCAUCUCACAAAAUUUCGUUUAUUUUUCAGUUAAUUUUAAAGGUCAUUUGGCUGACGAAGAUAUUGGAAGAUCGAGAUAGCUUCAUCAUAAGCUAUGUGUACAUUUUAUAGAUACCUAUUCAAGUAUAUAUUAUAUGCUUUCUUUCUAAAUUUUGAGAAUACGUAUAAAUUAUUUAUCUUGCUAAUAAACUAUUUUUUUGGUGGACAUGGGUCUUUAUGUUAUUUCUUAAUAAAAUUGAGUUUUAUUCUGAUUCCAAAUUUUAUUUAUUUAUAUAUUUAGCUUAUAAUUAUAUCAUUGUUUUAGAAGAAGAUACUAAAAUGAAAUUAAAAUACUCAAUGAUUUUUUAUUAAAACAUGUAGUGGUAGUGUGAGAAUAAUAUUUUACAAAAUCAUGUGGUAGAUAAAAAAUCAUAAAAAACUUAUACAUAUGGAAGCAUAAUCAUAUGUAUAGGUAUCAAAAACUUAUACCGAUGAAAACAAAACCGUAGGUAUAAUGACUUAAAAAUGACGGAUUAAAUUGUCUGCAGGUAUAAGUUUUAGAGGCUACAUCUUAGGUUUUAUAAUCUUUCCCAACAUUUUUUACCAUCACUAAAUGUCAAAUUUCUUUUAGUGACUUUUUUGCAUUUUUUUGCCAUAUAUCCUUGCUUUGAAUAUAGCAUAUAUUGACCAAUUACUAUAUCUUUCAUUUUUCGCCUAGUAAUAUGACCCAUUCGAAAGCUAACACAUUUUUUGUUUGCAUAACUUAUGUAGAAAAUUUUUGCAUCUUCAAUUGAUGUGAACUUUAUUUCUUUAUAGGGCUCUAAGGGAGGCUCUGUUGGUAACUCAAUACUGAUAUUGUCCACCUUAAGAACAUCAUCUUCAUAGUUGAUGAUGGUAGAAUCUUCAAGCAUAUUUGUCAUCUUAAUUUUUGUCAGUAAAAAAAGGGGUGAAAUUGUUACUAUGAUUAAUAAAGUUAUCUCAAUAGUGAAUAAUGAAAAUUUUGGAAGACAAGAGGGAGCAAAAAUACGCCCUAGAAAAAUGAAAACAAUAUUGAAGAUAUCGAACCACAAAGAAAGUGAAAGCGAUAUGGGUUGAGAAUGUGAAACUGAUAUGGGUUGAGAAUGUGAAACUGCUAUGUAGCUAUGAUGGAAAGAGAAGAGGAGAUUAUGGAACAAUAUUUAUUUUCCUUUUUUUGUUUUCUAAUAUGAUAUGGUAAAAUAAUUUGAAAUGAAAUUAUUUGAUUGGAUAUAUGUGUAAAACACGUUUAUAUUGACAGACUAUAUAUUUUAAAGUCAUAAUUAAAGAGUACAAAACAAUUUUCCCAUAAUUAAUAUUAUUAAAGAGAUGAUAAAAUUAUCCACAAUCCACACCGUAUCAAAAUCUAGAAUAAUUUAAAUUAAUCUAAAUUCAUCCAUUAAAACUAAGGAUUUAAAUAGAUAUAGUUCAAUGGUAGUUUUAAUAAUGGAUGGAUUCAAAUCCAUCGAUUAUACACAAAGAAUAUCCAUAAAUAUAUCUAUUUGGAUGAAUAUUCAAUCCAUUAAAAAGCAAACACUCGCAAAUGUGGAUUAUUGCUUUUCAAUUUUAUUCAUUGUCUCUACUCUCACUUUAUGGUGUAGAUAAUAAGAAAAACUUAAAAAAUAUAUGCAUUGAUAGUGUAUGAGUUAUAUACACUAACAAUUGAUAAUGUAUCAUCAACAAUUCAUAUUUAAUCAUCAUUGACUCUUCAAAAAAAAUUGUUAAUAAUGGAGUGACUAUAUAUAAAUUUUUACGCUAACAAUGCAUAUAUAUUACACUCUAGUCCAAAUUUGUUCUUAGAUAAGUAACAUGUCUAAAUAUUCACUAAAAACUUGUCACGUUUAAUUCUUUUUCAAAUUUUCCAAAAAUCACUUUUCUAAAAAGUGUUUCUUGAAAAUUUAAAACAGAUUUUUUUAAAUUGAUUUUCUUUUAAAAAUGUUUUUCCUUUAAAUAUGAUUGUUUGAAAAAUGUUUUUCCUUUAAAUAUGAUUGUUUGAAAAAUGUUUUCUUUUAAACAAAUGUUUUUUUGAAAGAAUUUUUUUAUAAAACAUGUUUUUGAACCGUGCUUUUUUUAAGAGUGAUGUUAAAAUAUGUGUUUUAUAAACAAUGAAUAUUUAAAAAUGCUUUAUUGAAAUUUUGGUUUGAAAUAGUGGUUCUUUUCGAGAGUGUUUUUAUUUCUAAUUAUAAAAUAAAUGUAUUGAAUAUUCAUUCAUUAAAAUAAAUUCAUUUAUAUAUUGAAAUUCAUUCAUUAAGUUUGUAUUAAUGAAUUUAUUGAGUUGUUGGAGAACUUUCUAUUCAUCUGUUAGUAUUUAAAUCUAUAUAUAUCCAAAGCAUUCAUUUCCCACCCUUAAAUAUUACUAAUUUCAAAAUAAUUGAUUGAUGCUAAUCUACAAUUUAAAAUAACUUAACAUAUUGUUGGUUUGCAUGCAUAAGGUCGAGCCAAAAUUUUACGCCUCACCCUUUGUUGUUUAUUUCUAAAAGAGAAACUUUUAUUUUUUUGGGAGACUACCAAAUGAGGGGUGUUUCUAGUUGAGUAUUAAUGGUUUUGUUCUUUCUCCCAGAUUGGAGUGCAACUUGUUGGUGUUUUAUCCUAGGAAAAUCACAAAUGAUUUUAGUGCAAACUCGUAGUAUGAUCUAAUUGGAUAUUGAAGCGCUUGUUUAUGAUAAAUUUUACGUAACUGGGUUGAGUUGUCUAAUGGGCCAAAUAACCGAGCUGGGAAACCUAGCCAUAAUGCGAAAUAAUCAACUCUAACAUAAGAGUUGAAUUGUGUUUGUAAGUUUAAAAUAAACUUUUCAAAUUUUUACGGUAGAGAUAACAAUUUUGAUCAUAAUAAUAUUUAUACAAGUGACUCGUCUGUUUUAUCACAAUAAUUUUUAGACGACUUUUUCAUUAUUUAUUGAAAGAGAUUCAAAUGAAGUUUAAGAAAAGAACUUGUUGGUAUCAUAGAAUCAGAAAUCUCACGAUUAAAAAGCAAUUAUAACAACUUAGAGCAUCUCCAGCAGCAAACAAAGUUUUCAUUCUUAUUUGUGUCUCACACAUUAUAUUAUAAUUUAUUACAAUUCCAUAAAAUAAGAAUAACAUCUAUUUUUUUCUCACAAUGACAAACAUCAUUCAUAUUCUUAUUUAAGUCUCAAAACAUACCCCACACUUUUAUAUUUUACAAUAAAUAUAACAAAUUAUUAAGAAUAAGUAUUUAUUUAUUUAUUAAUAAAUUAAAAUUGCUAUAAUUUAUUUAUAAUCUAACUUUUUUUUUGUAAAUUAUAAAAAUAAAAUAAGCGGACACCAAUAAAUAAAACAAAAUAUUACAUUAAUUAAAAUACAUUAAAUAUAAUUUCAAAAUAUAAUAGAAAUUACAACAUAGUAAAUUCAAAAAUAAAUAAAAUGUAUAAAAUAUAUAAAUUACAUCACAACGCAUAAAGGUCAUUUCUCCUCACCAAGACCAAUAAAUGUUCUUAUUUACCAGGAACUGUUAUUACUUAAGAACAAAACUCAAGAAAUAAGAAUGACAUAAUAUAAAACAGAGUAAGAAUGGUCUUAUUCUGUUAAGAACGACCUUAAGAACAACCUUAAAAAUAGCCUUAAGAACAACCUUAAAAAUAGCCUUAAGAACAACAAAUGUGGAUGCUCUUAAACAUAAAGGAGUUCAGAGAUAGAGAAUUGAAACACAUAUUUAUACUGGUUCGUCCAAAAUCAUAAGUUACAUCCACUUUCUUGGCAUGACAAAGAUUCUAGUAUAAUCCAAUAUUGAUUAUAGAAACAAUUAUUCUUUGUACACUUAGCCUCUUUAGGCUCAAUGUAACACCAUGAAUUUUCGAUGUGUAUUUUUAAUUAUUUAUUUUUAACAUAAAUUAAUUUUAGAAAUUAAUCGGUAAUGCAUUAGCCUAUACUGUAGAUGAGUGUUAGUCUUGUUUUGAGAAUUCCUAUGUUGUGGUAAAUGUUCGUAAUUUUAUGUGACGGAAAGUUUUUGGACUGUUGUCAGACCCAAAUUCACCCGAAUUCGGCCCAAUAGCGUGAUUUUGAGUUCCGUAGCUCAGAAUCAAAUAUCGAUUGAGCCGUUGGCUUCGAAUUAUUAUUUCGAGUCAAGAUAGACAUCAAGUUUAUCCAAAACGCAUUUCUAAAUAUUUUUCACUCCUAAUUCGGCAUUGAGAAAUUCUAACUAUAAUCGGAAGAUUUUAAUAUCUAGCCGAGUAUUAGCCGACAAUACUCGGGCAUGGUCUCAUCACGAAUGUUUCGUCGAAGAUGUCACCUCAUUUUCCCGACUGAAACUUGUGUGGCAAGCAAGCGAAAAUACUCAUCUUUUACACAAAUACCCCUAAACAUUUCAUUUACCCCAUCAUUUACUCAUCUUUUAUACAAAUACUCAUCUUUUACACAAAUACCCCUAAACCUUUCAUUUACCCCUUCACGGACCCACUGAUGCGAGACCAUCUACUAGGAGACAGAGUUGGGACGACGUGCUCAAUUCCCCACUAGGAAGGAGAGUUGCUCGAUGGAUGCUGCUUGGUCUUCAGGCAGAUGCAGGAGCGGGAAGUAAGUCGCAGGGUGCGUCCAAUGACCUGGAAGAGGAGAUGGAGGCUGAAGAGCAGGAAUUGGAAGUCGAAGAGGAGAACUGUGUGGAGUUACUCUAUAUAGAGGACUCUAUUGAGGUGGUGGACCUCUCCUCCGAUUCUGAGACGGAGGAGGACCCCAGCGAGUGUUCUAGUACACCAGCUAAUAUCGGAGCUAGUCACUAGUAGUCAUUCCAUUACUAGUUUCCCUUGAGGCGAGUAUCUGUGUAGGGUACUUUUGAUGCUUUAUAUAAACUAGUCUAUUGUGUAUAUUUUCAGUUUGGACAAGGAUUUAUUCCGCUUUGUUUUUGUAUAAUCAUUUUCAGUUAUUUCUAAUAAAGAAUUCUUCCACGAUAUAUUAAGUGGCUUUAGGUUACUUAAUGUGAUGUCCUAGAAAGGAGUCAAAUGUAAAUGAAGAAGUUUUACAUUACAAAAAAUUUUUACCCAUUUUUGGGCAAAUUAUUGGAGUAAUUUUCGGGGCGUUACAACAUGGUAUCAGAGCGGUUUUUUUUAUUCGGCCUUGGGCAUGGCCUCACAUGCUUUCUUGUGUGACUUGGUGUACUUAGUAUUUUCUUGAAUUAUUUGGUUGAGAAUACGACCCAUUCGUUCCUAUCUAACGAUAUUUUCAAUCAAUUAGCAUUGCCUUUAGUCUCCCUACCCUAUGACCUAAUUGUAUCUACACCCGCUAAUGAACCCGUCAUAGUGUCAACUAUGUGCUCUCAAUGCCUAUAAAUUUAGAUGAGUGAACCUUUGCAGUAGACCUGAUAUGUCUAUCCUUAUCCCAAUUAGAUAUCAUCUGUUCUUCUAAACCGCUUUAACAAAACGGUAAUCUUUAGCGUUCCUAAGAACCUAAUUGAAACCUGUUAUGAACCUCAUUGUUGUAGACCCUGCUAAAGUAGGAACGGUGAUAGAAUGGAAUUCUCCGAAAUUCGUAACGGAGAUUAGAAGCUUCCUCAGUUUAGCGGGAUACUAUCGGAAGUUCAUUGAAGGAUUUUCGGAGUUGGCAUUGACACUGACUUCGUUAACAAGGAAAGACAAGGCUUUUUUAUGGAUGGCAAAGUGUGAGGAAAACUUUCAGGAAUUGAAGAAAAGAUUUACUACAACACCUAUGUUGAUUCUACGAAACCCGAAAGGGAACUACAACAUAUAUUGUGAUGCGUCUAAACAAGGCCUAGGUUGUGUGUUGAUGCAACAACAAAAGGUGGUAGCUUAUGCUUCAAGACAAUUAAAGACACAUUAGUAGAAUUAUCCGACGCACAACUUGGAAUUGGCUGCAAUCGUAUUUCCUCUCAAGAUCUGGAGGCAUCACCUCUAAGGAGUAAGAUUUGAAGUCUUCAGUGAUCACAAAAGCUUGAAGUAUCUAUUCGACCAAAAGGAGCUGAACAUGAAGCAAAGAUGAUGGACUGAAUUCCUUAAGGACUAUGACUUUGAUCUCCAAUACCAUCAUGGGAAAGCUAAUAUGAUGGCUAAUGGCUUGGGUAGAACGUCUCUACAUAUAUCAACCAUGAUGGUCAGGGAGAUGGAAUUGAUUGAGGAUUUUAGGAAUUUAAGCCUCGCGAUGCAAGUAAAACCUAAGAGUUUGACUUUAGGUAUGCUUACAGUAACAAAUGAAUUUCUGGAACAAGUAAAAGGGUUGCAAAGUUCCGAUCCAGAAUUGCAAGAAAAGAGAACCUUGUUGGCCGAAGGAAGAGCCCCAGAAUUUCAAGAAGGGACCGAUGGAGUGUUGCGAAGUAAGAACCGAGUCUGUGUGUCAAGAGACCCUGAGUUGAAAAUGGCAAUCUUGGAUGAAGCCCAUAAGAGCAAACUAAGUAUUCAUCCUGGAGCUACCACUAUGUAUCAAGACUUGAAGAAGAUGUUCUGAUGGUCCAAUAUGAAGAGAGAAGUAGCAGAGUAUGUCUCGCGCUGCUUAACGUGUCAGAAGGCAAAGAUCGAGAAGAGGCGAACCAGAGGGGAACUCCAACCUUUGGAUAUCCCCGUUUGGAAAUGGGAUAGCAUUGCAAUGGAUUUUGAGAACGGAUUUCCUCGGACUCAAAAGGGUUAUGAUGUUGUUUGGGUGAUAGUGGAUCGUUUGACGAAGACAACUCACUUUCUACCCAUCAAUAUGAAAUACUCCUUGGAAAGGCUAGCGGAGUUAUACAUCAAAGAGAUUGUCUUAUUACAUGGUAUUCCUACAAAUAUCAUCUCAGAUACAGACCCAUGUUUCACUUCGAAGUUGUCGAAUGGUUUGCAAACAGCCUUGGGUACCAAAUUGAGUAUGAGUUCAGCUUACUACUCGUGGACGAGUGGCAUAUCUGAACGAAUUAUCCAAUCUUUGGAAGACUUGCUAAGAGCAUGUGUUUUGGAACACUCUGGAAGUUGGGCAGACUAUUUGCAUCUGACAGAAUUCACCUACAAUAUAGCUUUCAUUUGAGUAUCGGCAUGGUGCCGUAUGAAGCUCUUUACGGCGGAAAGUGCAGAACCAUUUUAUGCUAGUUUGAGGUAGGAGAGAAUCUUACAUUAGGACCCAAUGUGGUUCAGUAGACGACGAAAAAGAUAAAAAUGAUAAGGGAAAACAUAAAGGUAGCUCAGAGUAGGCAGAAGAGCUACUAGGACAAAAGGAGGAACCCUCUCAGUUUUGAGGAAAGAGAUCAUGUCUUCAUAAGGGUGGUUCCGACAACUAGCAUUGGUAGAAUUCUUAAAGCCCGUAAGCUUACCCCUAAAUUCAUAGGACCAUACCAAAUUCUUAGAAAAGUUGGACAAGUAGCUUACCAAAUAGCAUUGCCACCUUUACUAUCGAACCUACAUAAUGUAUUCCAUGUAUCCCAACUCAGAAAAUACAUUAGUGACCCGUUGCAUAUCAUCAAACCUGAUUCAAUCCAACUAAAGGAUAAUCUCACUAUUGAAACUAUGCCCUUGAGGAUCACUGAUCGAAGUGUGAAGGCGUUGAGAGGUAAAGAGAUUUCCCUAGUUAAGGUGAUCUAGAGCCAAGCAGACGGAGAAGAUGCAACUUGGGAGGUCGAGCAGGCCAUAAGAGAAUCCUAUCCCUAUCUGUUUUCUUAAAAGGUACGUAUAAUUUUCGAGGACGAAAAUAUUAUAAGUGGGGGAGGAUUGUAACAGCGUGAACGAUGUAUAUUUUUAAUUAUUUAUUUAAAAAAAAGUAAUAGGUAAUGAAUUAGGCUAAACCUAAGUUUAGUGUUAGUCUUGUUUUAUGAAUUCCUAUGUUGUGGUAAAUUUUCGUAAUUUUCUAUGACGGAAAGUUUUUGGACUGCUGUCGAGCUCAAAUUCACCCGAAUUCGGCCCAAUAGCGUGAUUUUGCAUUCUGUAGCUCGGAAUCGAACUUUGAUUGCAUCGUUGCCUUCGAAAUAUUAUUUCGAGCCAAGAUAAACAUCAAGUUUGUCCAAAACGCAUUUCUAAAUAUUUUUCACUCCGAAUUCGGCAUUCCGAAAUUAUAACCGUAAUCAGAAGAUGUUAAUAUCCAGGUGAGUAUUAGCCGACAAUUCUCAUCUUUUACACAAAACUAGUGUGACAAGCAAGCGAAAAUACUCAUCUUUUACACAAAUAUCCCUAAACCUUUCAUUUACCCCUUCACCAUUUACUCCUAGAAACCCUUGGCUUUCCCCCUCUUAAUCUUAUUUAUUCUACUUAAAGAGCCAUUCAAGCUAGAGAAACCAUUGAUUCUUCAUUUCAUUUCUUUCUUCUUCAUUUGGAUUUUUUCAAGAACACCAAGGUAAACCUCCAUACUUGUUCCUCAUCUUUUACAAAAUCUAGCCAUUCAUUGUUUACAAUAUUUGAGUAUGAUGUUUAUGCGCAUGUUACGAACAUUUUCAACCGUCAAAAUUUUCUAAAAAUCUUCCUAUCUCUUGUUAUACGCAAGAACGUGAAAAAUGAGUUUUUGUGAAUUUAGAAAUCGUUGUUUCGAAACCAUGAAAUAUUGUUGUUCAUGGGGUUGUUUUAGUGUUUGAAAUAUAUGCAUGUGUUGAUUUUGAUUAAAAGAGAUGAUGAUGAAAUUAAGGAUAUUUGAUUUGAAAUAUUGUUUUGAGCAUGAGAUCAACCCUUGUAAAAAGGUGUUGAAAUGAUCAUGAUCCAAUAGGAAUCAUGAACAAGAAUUUUGAGGAUAAAUGAUGGUUCGGUAAUAUAAGUCUUGGACCAGAUGGAUGAGAGUCUCGGAUGCUCUUGAAAUAGAUUAGAACGAUGUCUAUGUCGUAGAGUUAAUACGUGAACGAUUUAACUCGCGAAUCACUGAUUUGUCUUUUGUGUUUAGUUUCUAGGCAUUCGAAGUCGGACAACCGAUCCAUUCACGUGACAGAGGUCAAUAGUGCUACAACCCAAGGUGAGGGAGAAUACAUCGUGACAUAGUGGUGUCCGAAUAUGACACCCGAAUCUCCCAACUACCUUAAAAGUUGGGAGUUAUUUUUGUUGUUGUUAGAAACCGUACUUAACCAAAUGAUUUCAUGUCCAGAUUAAGUACAGAUGUUUCCUUAGGUUAUAUGCCCCUAGGAUAGUAUAAAAUGUCAAGUCUUGUGAUUGUUAUCCAUGAAGGAACACUAAUCGAGAAACUAAAACACGUAGGGAUCGAAAACAACGGAGAUUUUUGAUCCGAUAGCCCGAAAGGGCGAGGAAAUAGUCCUGGCAACCGGACUACCCUCGCUUGGGCAAGGGAGAAACAGUGAAUUAGGCCCCCAAUUGUUGCCUGGGCGUGCCAACCUGCUUGGGCGAGGGCCAGGGUGCCGUUUGGCCUGUUUUGGGCACCUGAGCAAGACCCAGAGGGUGAUUUUGACCAGUUUUUGGUGGAUUUUUCGCUCGAGAGAUAGUCCCAUCACUUGAGCGAGAGCCAUGCAGGAAAUAGAGUAUAUUUUGAUGAAUUGGUCGGUUGAGCAACAGUCUUUCUCUUGGGCGAGAGAUAGGCAUAAAUUGUGAGUGUUUUUCAUUGAUUUAUUGCUUAGGCAAUAACCCUAGCUUGGGUGUGAAGUGUAUUUACACUUGGGGAAGACCGUGGCUCAGAGGAUUGAGUCGGGUGCCCAAAUCGACAAACUUAUAUUGUUACUUUUGUUCUCGCGCCUUAUGCGGGUAAGGAUUUCGACGAGGAUGUCAUGAUCAAGGCGAUGCCUAGAAAGGAUUACAUGAUACCAUGCAGCAAGGUCGUCUGAUCGUAAGAGGCUUGGCUAUGUGGUCGUCUAGGGUAAUUCAGCGAUAAUUCAUAGUGGUAGGGAUUUUAUUCCUAUAUAAGAAGCAUUCCUUUGGGAGACGUCUUAGGAUGAGUCGAUCGAUAUAAAGGACUAAUUAAAAGAUAUAAUUAGCUAACUUCGGUUAGCGUGCAUACUCAUUAUGAAUAACGAAGUAGUGGAGAGGAAAUUUACGGGAGACGAACGAGCCCCACGAUGUUGGAAGGGACAGCGAUGGUGGUGAUUUGUCAGCAAAGUCUUGAGGGAAGGUCUAUGUGAGACGAGUCUCUUGUAUUCCUGGAUGAUGUACUCUAUUGGAUCGGAUGGUUCUCACCGCGCAAACUAGACGAUCUUUGAAAACCCCUCUUUGUAAUCAGGAUCAAUAAGAGGGAUGCCCAGAAAGUGUUUGAUACGACACCGUCCUAAAAUGGACAUUUAUUCAGAACCAGUCGAUCGUAUAUCCUUGUAAGGAAUAAUUAUUUUUGGUGCUAUCAAAUCGGCUUGUUAUGGGACCUGCACUCUUGGUUAUUUUCAAAUAGUAUAUCGGGAGGAUAUUGGUGUAAGGAUGGAUGAAAUAAGCAUAACAUUCAUACAUUGCGACCGUGGAUAUUGAUCCUCAUUAUCCGAGUUAUAACAUCAUUCAUCAUUGUGCAUUAUGUGUGUGAUCUAUAUUGUAUAUAUUAUACGUGUUUGUCUGGAUGUGAUAAUCUAUGUAAUUCCAUGUCAUCAAUGAAUAAUAUUCAUUAGAUGUCUUACUCCCUUUUCUUUUCUUUUAUUUUCUUUCUACUUGUCUUCGGUUCACGUUCUCAUUCAGAUUUACCGUACCGCAAGGAUUCUGUGUAACACCGUGAAAAUUCGAUAUAUUUUAUUAAUUAUUUAUUUUUAACAAAACAUAAUUUUAGAAAUUUAUCGGUAAUGAAUUAGGCUAAACCGUAGAUGACUAAUAGUCUUUUUUGUGAAUUACUAUUUUGUGUAAAUUUUCGUAAUUUUCUGUGACGAAAUGUUUUUGGACUGCUGUCGGACCCAAAUUCAUCGGAAUUCGGCCCAAAAACGUGUUUUUGGGUUUCGUAGCUCAAAAUUGAAUUCCAAUUGUACCAUUGGCUUUGGAAUAUUAUUUCGAGUUAGGAUAGACAUCAAGUUUGUCCAAAACGCAUUUCUAAAUACUUUUCACUCUGAAUUCGGCAUUCCGAAAUUUUAACCGUAAUUGGAAGAUUUUAUAUCCCGCCGAAUAUUAACCGACAAUACUCAGGCAUGGUCUCAUCACGAAUGUUUCGCUGAAAAAGUCACCUCAUGUUCCCGAGUGAAACUUGUUGAGCAAGCAAGCAAAAAUACUCAUCUUUUACGCAAAUAUCCAUAAACCUCUCACUUACCCAUCUCACCAUUAUUAUUUGAAUUAUUCUUUGGCUCUUCAUUUCAUUCUUCUAGUUCUUCAUUUGGAUUUUCUCAACAACUUCAAGGUAAACUUCAUCCCUUUUGUUCUUAAUCUCUUAGAAAUCUAACCGUUAGUUGCUUACGAAAUUUUAGUAUGAGGAUCAUACGAAUGAUACGAAUGUUUUCAACCGUCAACAUUUUCUAAAAAGCUUCUUAUCUCUUGUUAUACGCAAGAACGCAAAAACUGAUUUUUUGCAAAUUUAGAAAUCGAUGUUUUGAAACCAUGAAAUAUUAUUGUUCAUGGGGUUGUUUUAGUGUUUGAAAAUAUGCAUGUUAUUUAUGUUGAUGAAAGAUGAUGAUUUUGAAAUCAAAGAAUUUUUUAAAUCAAAAAGUCGUUUUGAUCACGAGAUCAAUCCUUGUAAAAAGGUGUUGAAAUGAUCUUGAACACGAUAGGAAUUGGGAACAAAACCUUCGAGCAUAAAUGGUGGUUCAAGAAUAUGAAUCUUGGACCGGAUGAAUGAAAGUCUCGGAUGUUCUUACAAUGAAUUAAAAUGAUGUCUUUAGCUUAGAGUUGGUAGGAAAAUGAUUUAACUCGUGAAUCGAUGAUUGGUUUGCGUGUUUAGUUUCAAGGCGUUCGAAUGCGGACAACCUACGCAUUCACGGAAGGGAAAUCAACCGCGCUACAACUCAACAUGAGAGAGAAUACAUCGUGACAUAGUGGUGUCAGAAUAUGACACCCGAAUCUCCCAACUACCUCAAAAGUUGGGAGUUAUUUCUGUUUUUGUUAGGAACUCGUACUUAACCAAAUGAUUUCGUGUCUGGAUUAAGUACAGAUGUUUCCAUAGGAUAUAUGCCCCUGGGAUAGUAUAAAAUAUCAAUUCUUGUGGUUGUAAUCCGUGAAGGAACACCACUCGAGAAACUAAAACGUGUAGAGAUCGAAAAUAAUGGAUAUUUUUGAUCUAGUAACCCAAAAGGGCGAGGAAAUAGUCCCGACAAGUGGACUACCCUCACCUGGGCGAGCCAGCCUCGUUUGGGUGAGGGGGAGGCAGUGGCUAAAACCCCCAAUAUUGGUGUAAGGAUGGAUGAAAUAAGCAUAUCCUACAUACAUUGAGAGUAUGAAUAUUGAUCCUCAUGAUUCGAGUUAUAACAUCAUUUCAUCAUUGUGCAUUAUGUCUAUGAUCUAUAUUGUGUAUAUCAUGUGUGUAUGUCUGGAUGUGAUAUUCUAUGUAAUUCCACACCGUCAAUGAAUUAUAUUCAUUAGAUGUCUUACUAUCUCUUCUUUUCUUUUCUUUCUGCUUGUCUUCGGUUCGCAUUCUCGUUCAGAUGGACCGUAUGGUGAUAAUUCGGAGUUAUCGAUUCUCGAUGUCCCAAGAGGGGGCAUGGCGUAGUCAUGGACAUAGAUACACCUACACAGGACCUUGUGCCUUAGAGCUGGAGAUGGUUUGUGAUGGUUUCCCUUCACAACAUGCAGAUUUGGAGGCUUCUUUCACCUUACCGGCUUGGAGAUAUACACCUACUACAACAUCCAUUCAGUCUAUGAUUCCUCACGAACCCACUGAUGUUGGACCAUCUACUAGGAGACGGAGUGGAGACGAUGUGCCCGAUUCCCCACCAGGGAAGAGAGUUUAUAUAUGGAUGUUACCCGAUCUUUAGGCAGAUGCUGGAGUGGGAAGAAAGUCAUAGGGUUCGUUUAACAAAGAAGAACUGGAAGCCGAAGAGGAAGAUUGUGUGGAGUUGGCCUGUAUAGAGGACUCCAUUGAGGUGGUGGACCUCUCUUCUGAUUCUGAGAGGAACGAGGAUCCCAACGAGUGUCCUAGUACACCCUCUAACCCUAAAGCUAGUCACUAAUGGUCAUCUGCAUUUCUAGUUGCCUUGAGGUCGGUAUAUGUGUAGAUAUUUUGGUUGUUUUGAAUAAAUGAGACUAUUGUAUAUAUAUUUAGUUUGGACCAGGAUGUAUUCUGCUUUGCUUUUGUAUAAACGUUUUCAGUUAAUUUCAAAAAAGGAUCAUUCCACGAAUUAUUGUUGUCCUUUCCGCAUUUUAGGUUAUUAAAUGUGAUGUCCCGAAAAGGAAUUAAAUAUAAAUGAAGAGUUUUGCAUUACAAAAAAAAAACAAUUCACCCACUUUUGGGCAAUAUUGUUGGAAAUUUUUGGGGCGUUACAUUCGGAGCUACCGAUUCUUGAUGUCCUAGGAGAGGACAUGGAGUAGUGACAAACACAAAUAUACCUACACAUGCCAUUGUGCCUUAGAGCUGGAGAUGGUUUCUGACGGCUCUAUACAGCGCUUACCCUUACAUCAUGUGGACUUGGAGGCUUCUCUCACUUUACCUUCUCGGAUAUUUGCACCUAUUGCACCACCAAUUCAGUCUUUGAUUCCUCACGGACUAACUACAGCGGGACCAUCUACUCAGGAGACGGAGUUAAGGCGAUGUGCUCAAUUCCCCACCAGUAAGGAGUGCUGCUCGACGGAUGUUGCCCGAUCUUCAGGCAGAUGCGGGAGCGGGAAGUAAGUCACAGGGUGCGUCUAAUGAUCUAGAAGAGGAGAUGGAGGUUGAAGAGGAGGAGCUGGAAGUCGAAGAGGAGGAUUGUGUGGAGUUAGUCUGUAUAGAGGACUCCAUUGAGGUGGUGGACCUCUCCUCGGAUUCUGAGACAGAUGAGGACCCCAAAGAGUGUUCUAGUAUACCUACUAACACCAGAGCUAGUCACAAGUAGAAAUUCCAUUUCUAGUUACCCUUGAGGCGGGUAUCUAUGUAGGGUACUUUUGAUGCUUUAAAUAAAUCAGUGUAUUGUGUAUAUUUUCAGCUUGGCCAAGGAUUUAUUCCGCUAUGUUUUUGUAUAAACAUUUUCAGUUAUUUCCAAUAAAGAAUUAUUUCACGAUAUAUUAAGUGGCUUUAGGUUACCAUUAGGUAACGAUCAUUGUCUUUUCCGCAAUUUAGGUUACUUAACGUGAUGUCCCGAAAAGGAGUCAAAUGUAAAUGAAGAAGUUUUACAUUACAAAAAAAUUACUCAUUUUUAGGUAAUAUUAUUGGAGUAAUUUUUGGGGCGUUACACUCAACAAUUCAAGUAUUGUUUGUGCACAUAGCCUUUUCAUGCACACCACUAAACAAUGGUUUCUAUUAAAAUAAGUUUUCAACUUUACAAGUCUUUCAAUUGCACUCAUAAAUUAAAAUAAAUAUCAAAGAGAAAGAAUGAUAAUUUAAUAGCAAAUGGAUUAACACAUAUGCUCAAUAUAGCAUGAUGUUAUUAAAUAAAAUAUGAAUAUAGUUCUUGAAAAAAUUAGAGCGUUAAAUGAUACUCAUUUUAUUUGUGUAUUGUCAGAUCUUGUUCUACUCUUCUUCAAACGCUAAGGCAAUUUAUAGAUUCGGAAAUUAAUAUAAUCGUUAUUAUAGCCAUUUAACUUCAGUCAAAGCUUCUUCUUGAAAUUAAUAUAUGGUAAUACUUUGUCUUCUCUAUAGCUUAAUUUUUUCUUGUAUUUCUAUAGUGAUAUGUUAAAUUUGAUUUCAAUGGAAAAUUUAAUGUUUCAUGAUUGUUGAAGCUUUCUGAUGGAAGAGAGAGAAUUGUGUAUUAUCAAAAGUUGGUAAUCAACAGAUUUUUUCGUAUUUUGUACUGCGCAUUUUCUUUUUGCAGUAAUAAAGUACAUUUUGUCUUCUUAUUUUUUAAUUAAAAUCAUGUCCUUAGAGAUGUUUUUUUGUUCCUUCUCGAUGUGACAUAGUUGAUCCUUCAUUCUUCUUUGAUUGACAAGUAGAAUUCUUCACAUGAAGAUCACAUCUUUCUCAAUGGAGCAUUCUUGUGUAGAGAUGUUGACUAAGCUUCAUAAAUAUCUUAAAUACAAAAGAGUCUUGAAUUCAUAUAGAUCUUCAUUAUAGACAGGUUUUUAGCAAGACGUGUCAUGAAUAUCGGCGAGUCUUGAUCACAAACGGGUCUUGCACAUAGAUAAGUCUUGAUAUCUAUAUUUCCUUGUUCGAAUAUGCAAAAUUAUUAGUUCUGAUUUCGUUGGACACUUAAAUUAGAAGAUUAGAACGUUCAGACAAUUAAACAUAAUCUUACUUAAUGAGCCACCACCUACACCUCUUGGUCUUGAUUAGUUUUGGAAUCAUCAAAACUUAAAGGUUUAAAUAUUAGAAUGUGUUUAGCGACUUUAAGGCUUAUCAAAAUGAGCCACCACCUACACCUCUUGGUCUUGAUUCCUUAUACACCAAAUGGACAUAGACCAUUCCAAAGCCAAAUGUGACCUUAGUACUUCAAAACCAAAAACCUCAUCUUGCUUCAUUUUCAUACAUAGGAUUGAUGAUUAUAUGAUAAAAUCUUGUUUUGUUUGUCCCUUUACCUACUUUAUAUGAUUAUUCAAUGAUAAUUUAUAUAUUGGAUUGAUUGUGGAAUAUUUGAUGAAAUAAGAUUACUAGGACUCUGAAGGAGGAAAUGAGAUUUUGUUGCAGCAUUAAUAAUUGUUGAACAAUGUUGGUAACAAGUAAUAAAGUAAAAUGGGAGAAAAUAUUAAGCAGAAUAGAGAAGAAAUAUAUUAACGAAGUUUAGUCAAUUGUACCUACAUUCCCAUGAACAUUGAAGGAUGACUACUUUAUGUGUAGUCUUCUGCUUGGACCCAAUACAUAACCCAAAAAGCUCAUAAACUUUUUGAAAUAUCUUUCAGCUGGCGGUGAUCCCAUACAUGCCUUGGCCAAGGUUUGAAAUUUAGCAUAAGAUUUAUAACCCAAACCCUUAGUACACGAUUGUGAGUCAUAUUACACCCUAUUAUACGGUCGUGGUCACCAGCACACUAUGAUCGUGGUCCUCUUAGUAACUUUGUGUCUUCUAGUGCUUCGAGAAUACGUUUGUGUAUCCUCACACAACUUAAUCGCGUUUCACUUAAUAUGAGUCAUUCAUGAAAGUGCGCAUGUCAAGAGGAGCACUUUGGAAAGCUUGCUCACUAUGUGUUUUGGUUUUGAUGAGCACAACUUGUGUUUCACAAGAGCUUGAAGAUCAUCAACAAACCAACAUGCUUAAGUCUCAAGAUUGGUAUUAGACUUAGACUAGUAAUUAGUUUAGGUUGAGUCUAAGGCUUAGGUAAACUCAAUACAUGUCUCAUAUGCAUAAAACAUUAAAUCAUUUUAUUUUUGAGAUAUGUCAUUCAUAAUAUGUUCAUGCAUCACAUAUAUACAUGUUAUCUGUGCAUCCUAGGCAUAAACUUAGUGUUGAACAUGUAUAAGUUAAGUGCAUAACGUAUUUGAGUUUUGCAAUUUAAAAAUACACUUGGAAAUAUGCAGUUAAUCGAUUAAGGUGUGUUUUAAUCGAUUAACAUAAGUUUUUGAAAAGCAGUUGGAACAGAAAACUUGGAAAACCGAAUCAGUACAAUGGUAACACGUUAAUCGAUUAACCAAAGAUUUAAUCGAUUAACUGGACUGCAGAGUGGAUUCUUUAUAAACUGCGUUUUCAGAACUCAAGCCAUAACUUGCAUGUUAGAUUUUAAGAUUUAGAGAGUUGGAGCAUAUUUCGUGUUAAUUGUUGCAUCUAUAUGACAUUGCAUUUGUGAGAUUAGAAAAGAGAGAAUUAUAUGCUUUAGGAUUGAGAGGCAUUACACGUUUAAUUUCUCAUCAUUUCAUCCCACAUGUUCAUGCAUUCAUUGAUGUUUUUGGAAAGAUUUCAUAUUCUGUAAAAUAUGUUUUUUACUAAUGCAUUAUCAUGUUAUAUGAGACUUGUGUUAGAGUUGUGGAGUAAGAUCUUAAUUGUUUAAUUUGAGCGUUGUAAUUGCUUUAGAUUACUCUAUGUUUUGUUGUAAAAAAGUGUUGUAACUUUGGGAAUCUCAAGGUGUCUUACUACCAAGGAGAUUGUGUUGUAUCUUCAUUAGCUUAGAGAUCUUAAUAGAAAGAAUAGGUUCUUGGCUGGGGCUACACCGCAAGAAAGGUUUUCUUGGGCGGUAGAAAAGGAGUCAAACCAAGGGAUAAGGUUCUUUAGUUGUCAAGAAAGUGUCUAAGUGUUGUAAUUGAAAGAAUUGUUUGUAAAACGCUAUUUCAAUUAUAGUGAAGAAAAAUCUCCCAGAUCAGCCGGGAGGCCUGAAUGUAGUUUGCAAGUGGACACGCAAACGAACCAGGAUAAAAANNNNNNNNNNNNNNNNNNNNNNNNNNNNNNNNNNNNNNNNNNNNNNNNNNNNNNNNNNNNNNNNNNNNNNNNNNNNNNNNNNNNNNNNNNNNNNNNNNNNAUCUGUUUCUAUACUAUACUGUUGUAACUCUGAUAUAUCUGUUAGCUCUGUAUAUUUGCUUCGAUCUCAGUUGAUUGUCGUAUAAGAAACUGAAUUUGUUUGUGUAAUCUGAGCUAUUUUAAUCGAUUAAAUUGCUUGCGUUAAUCGAUUAUUCUUUCUCUGUUAAUCGAUUAAUCUGGGGUUAUUUCAGCAUUAUUUGUUGUUUGCGAAAAGCAGAUACUCUGACCGCUACACCUAUUCAACCCCCUUCUAAGUGUAUUUUAGCCACUGAUAUCUAACAAUUCACACAAUAAUCUUCACCCUGGAAAAUAUUAUACUUCUUAGGAAAUAUGCAUAGUAAUAUUCUCUACCUUAGAAAAUAUCAUGCAUCUUAGGAAAUCUAUGCACUUUGACUAUAAUUGUACUUCACCUUGCUUAAUGCCUAACUUUCUUUAAUAGCUCCUCCACAUAAAAGUAUACUCCUAUUUCAGCAUAUGUCUUUCCAAGUAUCAUUGACAAUGCUAUUAAGAUAUCAGCUCUCUAAACUUAUAGUGUAACAUCUUGUAAUGUAGCCUAAUAGAUCAUACCGCCUAACCACCCAUUUCUAGGAAGACUUUUGACAUUAUGAAACUUUCACACCAAAGUGCACUGGGAACCGCCCUCUUCAAUAUCCAACUCAACUUAACCAAGAAGCUUCCUUGAAAAUCUAAAAAAACUGCCACCAUUGUCUAUACCAAAAAUCAUGGUUCCAAGAACUAUUAUACUCCAUAUUAGGGAGUGUACCCACAUCACACACCUUCCAUUAAUGUCAACCAAUGCCUACUGUCAUACCCGGCAUCUAUGAAAAUGUAAAUGCACCACACCCUACAUUUAUACAAAUUCCCAUAUUGCACCUGUACUCAUCUCAAUGCUUACAUGGCAUUGUGCAUCCAAGUCAGUAGUGCAUGUGUUACAUAGUGCAUCUAAGCCAAUGAACGUGUGUUACACAUGCAUCUAUUCCAAUUCUUCCAUGCUUCACUUGCAUCUAUUAUAAUGCGUCUAUGUCACACCUGCAUAUAAUCCAUUCUCAGAUGUCAUACAACCCACUAAUGUCCAUGCAAAAUUGUGGAUCUGCAAGCAAAAUGUAUUUACGUACCCAAGAGUAUUGAUCAUAUAACAAUGUAUUAUUAAGAAUUAGAAUUAGUAACUACAAUCACAUUAACAUCCAACUCAAUUAGGGUAUACAAAACAUAUGUAAAUAUAUUUUUUUACAUGUAUAUGAUACACAACCCUAAAAUAUACACAUGUGAAUAGUAUUAUUAAAUAUUCACUUAUGCUAGGAGGCCCAUAUCCACAACUACGGACUCAUACACAACUUGGUCGUGGUUUGUUGUUUUGUACCAAAUGUAACGCCCACGCCCUUGACAUAUAGUCAUAGGUCAUACCUUGACCUAGUACAUAGCCAAAGUUGACGUCGCACUUUAAUCAUGGUCCUCUAUGUAACUCCACGUCUUCUAGUUUUUCAAGAACAUAGAUUAUGUAUCUUCAUAUGACCUAGUUGUAUUCUACUGAAUAUGAGCCAUUUGCACAAUGAAGAUUCUUAAAUUGAAAAUAUGAUUGUGGAUAUUUUAAUGGUUUGGAUUUAUUUAAAGAGAACGAUUUUAGGUUGAGAAAUAGCUUUUCAAAGGUCAAGGACAAGUGAUGAAUCUCUCGUAUUUUUUUAGCAUUUUGGCGUUUGGAUUUUGAUGGCAAAAGUUUGGGACUGAACAUGAAAUUGAUGGAUAUCAUUUUUCUGUAUAAUAGAUAAUUAAUCAAUAAUUUAAUAAGUACAUUUAAGCUUAAUGAGUAAUCCACUAAAGAAACAUGUUCAACAUAAAUUUUAGAUUGACCAAUAAAGAAAAAAAUGAUAAUAUAUUUAAUGCAUUUAAGAAAAUAACUAAUACUAUAAAUUAGAAAAAAUAUUAAAUUACUCUUAAAAUUAAUUUUUGAUUUCAAGUUCAUAUGGCAUAAGUUUUUGUUUUCAGAUUCAUCCUUUAAAUUAUUUUCUCUUAAGUAAACAAAGGCUCUACACACACUUUGAGGGGUUGAAUAGAUGUGAGGCAUAAAUACGUGCACACUUAUUUUUACUAGAUAAUCAAUUAAUGUUCAAAAUUUUAACAAGUAUUUACAGUGUUAAUUGAUUGAUAAUCGAUUACAGAGAGUGUAGAAUAAAUUAUGCAACUAGGUAGUUGAUUGCAGAUCAAUUAUCAACACAAAAUUAAAAAUCAAUUUAAUCAUAUGGGAACAAGAAGAACUUUGAUAGUAUUAGAACUAAGAAUCACAGUAAAGCUAUUCAGUGGUUUACAAGAUUUAAUGCCCAAGAAAAGUGGUAAAUGAAAGUUAAAGAGUAAAGACACAGAGAAAUUGACACCCAAAGUUGAUCCUGGAUCACAAUAAUCCACUAGCACUAUAAGUAGUCUCUCUUUCUGAUAUGAGGAUUUUCUACUAAAUCGAAUACUAUGUACAAACAUACUUCCAUAUUCAAUCCUAAGCCAGUAGCUUGAACUCGAAGACAAUAACAAUGACCUUAUUGUGCAGAGAUUACAACAUUGUGAAAAACAAAAAUUCUUCAAUCAAUUGAUAUUGCUAUGCAAAUAUAAUUUUAGACUACAAUGUGUGAAUCUCAAAGUGUAUAAUGAUGAAUAAAAAUAUAAAUUGAUUACUUUGAGUGUAUUAUUCACAAUUCAUAUUUAUUCAUCAUUGACUUUUAAGUAUAAGUAAUACAAAUAAAUGAUAAUUGAUAUAUUUAUUGUGUAUAAAUUUUUACAAUAACUAUACAUAAAUAUUACGCUAAGGAAAAUUAAUCUUAGUUGGUUGUUGUUGUCAUAAAUUAUUUUCAAUAUUUUCUUCCUUAAACACAUGUUGCACACAAUCUUUGAAUACUUUUCAGGUGCUUUCCUUUUAUUUUCUAUUUCAAAUUUGUCUUUUAAGGAUUUGUUUGAGAGUUGAAUUUUGGAGGGGAAGAAACAGAAAUAGAAUGCUUGAAACCAUAAAAUACAUUUGUGAAAUGAUUCAUAAACUUUCUUUUUCCAUUUUUUCCCUUCCAAAAUCCAACUCUCAAAUUAAUCUUAAGUUAUUUUAUAUUUCAAUGUGGUCAAAGAAGUUGUUCUUAUGUUAAAUUAGUAGGUUAGAAUUCAUUUUCAAGUGAUACAUUUUCACAAAACUAAAAUAGACAGAUUUCAUAGGUCUAUAUGUUUUAACCUUAAUGAUAACAAAAUUAAAAAAGACUAAAAUGGAUUAAAAAAAGGACAAGACCAAAUUAAAAUGAAUUCAAAAAAAGACAAGACCAAAUUAAAAUGGAUAAAAAAAGACAAAGACCAAAUUAAAAAUAAUAAAUAAUUUACCGGAUGAAUCAAAUAACUUAGAAUUAAAGAUUUGAUCCAUACGUUUUGAAUUAGUUAGGUAACCUUUUUCUUUUGAAUUAAAUCCGAGUAUCUUGUUGUACUAAGGUCGUCUUUGUUCAAUUAUCAGAUAUUAAUCAUGUAACAACAUAUAGCUGAUCAAAAUGAGUUUUAUUUCUUUAUUAUUUUCAUAUUAUUUUGCAAUUUUGUAGCUUUUGUAUCUCAGAUUGAGCCUAAGACCAUCGAUGAGGCCAUUGAGGAUGUGCACUGGGGUAUAGCUAUGCAAGAAGAGCUAAACCAGUUCGAACGUAACAGUGUUUGGGACUUGGUCCCUAAACCUAAAGAUCAUCCCAUGAUAGGUACCCGAUGGGUCUUCAGAAACAAACUUGGCGAAUAUGGCUUAAUCAUUCGAAAUAAGGCACGCUUGGUGGUCAAAGGCUACAAUCAGGAGGAAGGUAUCGACUACGACGAAACCUAUGCCCCUGUAGCCAGAUUAGAGGCCAUCAGGAUACUUCUUUCCUUUGCAUCUAUUAUGAACUUCAAAUUAUUUCAAAUGGACGUAAAAAGCGCCUUCCUGAAUGGUUACAUUCAAGAAGAAGUCUAUGUUGACCAACCGCCUGGAUUUGAAAAUUUUAAAUAUCCGAACCAUGUUUAUAAACUUAAAAAGGCACUCUAUGGUCUUAAGCAAGCUCCUAGAGCUUGGUAUGAUAGACUAAGUACCUUUCUUUUGGAAAAAGGGUUCGAAAGAGGCUUGGUUGACACAACGCUUUUUAUUCGAAAAUCAGAAAAUCAUGUAUUACUUGUACAAAUCUAUGUGGAUGACAUAAUAUUUGGAUCUACUAAUGAUAUUCNNNNNNNNNNNNNNNNNNNNNNNNNNNNNNNNNNNNNNNNNNNNNNNNNNNNNNNNNNNNNNNNNNNNNNNNNNNNNNNNNNNNNNNNNNNNNNNNNNNNAACUCACAUUCUUUCUAGGACUUCAAAUAAAGCAGCUAGAAAGUGGGAUAUUCAUUCAUCAGACAAAAUACUGCAAAGAGCUACUCAAGAAAUUUGAUGUGGAUAAACUUAAGGAAGCCUCCACUCCUAUGGCAUCUGCUUGCUACCUAGACAAGGACGAAAAAGGAAAAGAAAUAGAGGUAACAAAGUAUCAUGGUAUAAUUGGGUCAUUACUUUACUUAACUGCAAGUCGACCUGAAAUCAUGUUUAGUGUAUGCAUGUGUGCGAGAUUUCAAUCAUCACCUAAGGAAUCACAUUAUAUAUCUGUUAAAAGAAUCAUGAGAUAUUUAAAAGGAACAACUAACAUGAGAUUAUGGUAUCCUUGGGACGCCUCACUAUCCUUGGUAAGAUAUUCCGAUUCCGAUUUCGCCGAAUGUAAAUUGGAUCGGAAAAGCACUAGUGGUANNNNNNNNNNNNNNNNNNNNNNNNNNNNNNNNNNNNNNNNNNNNNNNNNNNNNNNNNNNNNNNNNNNNNNNNNNNNNNNNNNNNNNNNNNNNNNNNNNNNAGUUGAAACCAUUCUGCUAGCUAAAAACCAUUUUUUUACCGUGUUUAAUCGAUUAAACACCUAGUGUUAAUCGAUUACCUGGGCAUCAUUUUCUGAAAAAUCAAUUUUUACAUGAUUUUAAUCGAUUAACUAUGCCCAUUAAUCGAUUAAAACCAGCAUCUUAAGUGCAGACAACACCUCGGUUUCACGCUUUUUCCGGCAUUUUCUCCACCUCUUUUCACUUGUCAGUCUCUGAAAUUGCAACUCAACUGAUCCAAGUGCUAUAAGGUAGAUAAACCUCUCCCUAACCCUCUCAAAACCAUCUAGAAAGCUCACAUUAUCAUCCUCAUUCCAUCAUUCCAAUUUUCCCCCAAAUUAAACCCUAGGUUAGGUUUUCCUAAUCCCUCUCUACUAAGUCCAACAUCAAUUCGGGUCCUACAUUAAAAUGGAGCAAGGUCGCGCAAAAAGGUUCAAAACUCCCGCCAAUUGUGGACGAAGACCGGAAGCUGACUCAUCCUCCACUCGGGACCGUGACGACCCUUAUUAUUCGCUCAUUCUGCAAGAGACUCGUUUGGCGAAGUUCCUAGGACGCAAACCCACGUAUGUAAGGUAUGUCGACUUAACCUAGACGGCGGAACAGAAUUUCAGCUUUCCGCAUGAUAUGGAGGCUCAGGGAGCCGUUAAAUUUCUGGAAUUAAAGGGACAAGUUUACCCAGCUCUAGUUAGGGAAUUUAUGCAAAUUUCAGAUAUAAGGAUGAUAAAUACUGGUCUAUGAUUUCUGGUAAACUGUUUGAGAUUAGUGAUGAAUUGUUUAUGAAUGUCGGUGGUUUGUCAUCUUCUGGUUAUGGAAUAGGAGAUUGCUCAUGGGUUAAGGAUAACUUUGAUCCUAUUGAGGUUUAUCAGUCAUUUCUUAGAGGUCCUCAUUUGUAUAUUCCGGGUCAACUGACCAAGGCUGGGUCAUUAUCUGUUGAGAACAGGUUGUUACAUUAUAUCAUUGCUUAUAUUCUGGUACAGAGAAACNNNNNNNNNNNNNNNNNNNNNNNNNNNNNNNNNNNNNNNNNNNNNNNNNNNNNNNNNNNNNNNNNNNNNNNNNNNNNNNNNNNNNNNNNNNNNNNNNNNNCUUGGCAAUACCAGGAGGAAUACAUUACUAUUGAUCUGGAGCUGUCCGAUGAUGAUCAGGGUGGCAUGGGUGAUCAGAAUGCUACAAAUCAGGGGGAGCCCUCCAGGACAGUAUCACAGGAUUAUGUUUUCGGUAUGGCUCAGAUGGAAGCUAUGGAGCAAAGGCUCAACAACCGCAUGGAUCUUCAUUUUCAAGGGUUGAAGGACUCAUACUUUGCAGGUAUGGAACAGUAUGAAGAGCGUCAAAUUGCCUAUUCAGACAACCAAUAUCAGUCGGUGAGAAAUCUGAUUCAAUCAACAGCCGAAGCUUAGAAUGCCUUUAUUCGAUCUACUGCUGAAGCUCAGAAUGCAUUAUUNNNNNNNNNNNNNNNNNNNNNNNNNNNNNNNNNNNNNNNNNNNNNNNNNNNNNNNNNNNNNNNNNNNNNNNNNNNNNNNNNNNNNNNNNNNNNNNNNNNNUGAAUUUCAGAAGUUGUCUAUGCUGAUCAGGGGUGACCAGAACAUUGUUAUUCCUGAUGAUGAGAUUGAUCCUCCUCCGCCUCAACCAUAGUACAGAAGACUUUAGACCUAGGACAUCUUACCCUUAGGUUUAUUUCUUCAUUAUUACACUUUUUUGGACUCAGUUGUUGUUACUUUUUCCAGACUUAUUUGUGCCUCUUUAUUUGUCUCUGCUUGACAUAUUAUGGUUUGUAAUGGUUGCUGAAUACUUUUACUCUUUAUGCUAUGAUUCUAGUUUUGUGCUUAAUUAUGUCAAAAUAGCUUAUUUGGUUGCGUGAAUGGUUCUUGACCAUAUGAGAUGUUUAUGGUGCAUGAUUUAAGCUAGUUAUUGCACUACAUUGCUUAUCAUGUUCAUUGAUAUGCUUAUUCUUGUAUGACGUUCUCCUUACCUCUUAGUUAUUUUACAUGUCUAAACAAACGCAUUUGUUUAAGCCACCGAAAAUGAAACAGGUUAAUAGUUAAAUCCCAAAAUUAAUUCAUUAACUUUGUUUUAUGUUUAACUACAUAUCUCUGCCUACUUUUGACCUGAGUUAUCAUUUUUAAUAAUGUCAAAAGGGGGAGAAAGGUUGUUUUGUUGUUGUUUGAUUGUGCAGGUUGAUCGUAAUAACUGCUUCCGAAAUAUUAGCGCAUCAUAUCAAUCAUUGCCAAUACAAUCUUCAAGCUAAUUCAUCAAACAAUUGGUGUAGUAUUUUGUCAUCAUCAAAAAGGGGGAGAUUGAAAGUGCGCAUGUCAAGAUAGCACUUUGGAAAGCUCUCUCUNNNNNNNNNNNNNNNNNNNNNNNNNNNNNNNNNNNNNNNNNNNNNNNNNNNNNNNNNNNNNNNNNNNNNNNNNNNNNNNNNNNNNNNNNNNNNNNNNNNNCUGUUUUGAGCAUCAUAAUUGCUUUAGUUUACUCUAUGUUUUUGCUGUGAAAAGUGUUGUAACAUUGGGAAUCUCAAGGUGUCUUACCACCAACGAGAUUGUGUUGUAUCUUCGAUAGCUUAGUGUUCUUGAUAGGAAGAGUAGAUUCUUGGCUGGGGCUACACCGCAAGAAAGGUUUUCUUGGGCGGUAGGAAGGGAGUCAAACCAAGGAAUAAGUUUCUUUUUGUUUCAAGUGAAUAUCUAAGUGUUGUAAUUGGAAGAAGUGCUUGUAAAACAUUAUUUCAAUUAUAGUGAAGAAAAAUCUCCCAGAUCAGCCGGGAGGCCUGGAUGUAGUUUACAAGUGGACAUGCAAACGAACCAGGAUAAAAACCGUGUUGCAGGAUUUUUCUUUCUCUCUCUCUUUCUCUCUUUAUUGCUUUAAUCGGUUACGUUGUAUAGUUGUUUUAAUUGCUAUAUUCUGUUUCCAUACUAUACUAGUGUAACUCUGAUAUUUUGUAAGCUCUGUGAUUUCGUUUAAAUCUCGGUUAAUUGUUGUGCAAGAAACUGAAUCUGUUUGUAUUUUCUGAGUUGAUUUAAUCGAUUAAAGUAAUUGUGUUAAUCGAUUAUUUGUGUUCUGUUAAUCGAUUAAUCUGGGGUUAAUUUUGAAUAAUUUAUUGUUUUCGAAAAAGCGGGUACUCUGAGCGCUACACCUAUUCAACCCCCCCCCCCUUCUAGGUGUAUUUUAGCCACUAAUACCUAACACCAUCACCUUAACCGGACAACACUCAACUUCACCAUCAUUAUCCACCUUCCACCAACUCAAAAGACUAACACAUAUAGAUGCUAUUGCAGACAUAUUCUGUGUCACAGUCGCACCCAUCCAAACACAGUCACCAACAACACAUACAACCUAUCUAGCCUUAACAGACCCAAACAAUACCCACAAUAAAGUUAUCCAACCCAUACUAAAGGAGUUUGAGUCAAUCUUCAGUACCCCAAAAAGAUUACCACCACAAAGACCACAUGAUCAUAAAAUUGUCCUCCUACCCAACGCAUCCCCACUUAAUGUUAAACUUUACCGAUAUCCUCACUCCCAAAAGGAAGAAAUGACAACUCUAUUAUCAGAAAUGUUACAAGCUGACACAGUAGUACCAAGUACUAGCUCAUUUUCAUCCCCAGUUUUACUAGUUCGAAAGAAAGAUGGAACAUGGCGUUUUUGUGUGACCACAGUUUGAAUGCAAUUACUAUUAAAAAUCGGUUUCCAAUUCCUACUAUUGAUGAGCUCCUAGAUGAAUUAGCAAAUGCUCAUAUUUUCUCAAAAAUUGAUUUAAGAUCUGGAUAUCAUCAAAUUAGAUUGGACCUUGCCGACACUCACAAAACAACAUUUCGGAUAGUAGACAGGCAUUAUGAGUUCUUGGUAAUGCCCUUUGGCCUACUAAUGGGCCAUCAAUGUUCCAAGCUGCCAUGAAUGAUUUAUUAAAGCUAUAUCUUCGAAAAUUUGUUCUCGUGUUUUUGAUGAUAUAUUAAUCUACAACAAGACCUUGACUGAACAUCUAACAUACUUAAGGUUAAUUUUAGCCUUAUUAAGGGAGCAUAAAUUUUUCGUAAAAUUAUCUAUAUGUGUUUUUGGCGUGCAUAGCAUGGAUUAUCUAGGACAUAUAUUAUCAGGUGACAACGUACAACCAGACCUAGAAAAAAUUCAAGCCAUUGUUGAAUGGCCAACACUAAAGUCGAUCGCGGCCUUAAGGGGUUUCCUUGGCCUCACCGGAUUUUAUCGACAAUUUAUCAAACAAUAUGCCUCACAUGUCGUUCCUCUGACAGCUUUACUAAAGAUAGGAAGUUUUACAUGGAGUAUCUCAACCCAACAAGCAUUCGAAAAUUUAAAACACAUAAUGACAAAUGCUCCAGUACUAGCUCCACCAAAUUUCACUAUGACUUUUGAUGUUGAAACAAACGUUUCAGGGAUCACCGUUAGUGCUGUUUUAUCCCAAAAAAUAUCACCCCACAUGGAAAAUGAGGAUACUAAUACUCAAGAGAGUAAUUUUAUAGAACAACUCACACAGUUGCUAGAGGAGAAAAAAAGGCACCCAAAACAAUUACAAAAGUAUACGUUGGAGACCCCAACUGCUCAGUUAAGGAAUUCAAGUGUUAUCAAUAAAGGCCCAGAAGCCCAACAACAAACUCCACCAUUGGAUCUACCUUGUGGACACGUGAAUCUCACGCCCAACAAGAACCAGCCGUGUGGCAAGAUGACUUACGUGGCACCACAAGAAGAAGACAAAGCUGUAGGUGCACCCUUACUCAACGCAAAACAACACAUGGAAUCAACCCAUUUUCCCUCCCAACAGAUACACCCAAUGCAACACACAAGAAAAGGACACACAAAGAUAAAAAUAAGCAACUCCAUAUUGAAUCACACCUUGAGGACAAGGUGUCCCUUGAAGAACCGGGCAAUGUUGGACCACCUAGAUCUCACUCUGAAUCCAGUAUCACAAGAAGGCCCAAGAGAGAUAUAUAACUACCUCAUAAAUUUAAAGAUUAUCUUAUGUAAUUUGGAGAAGAUUAUGAUAAGAUUAUAUUUUGUUAAUUUUAGAUUUAAUUUCCAAAUAACUGAAUUAAGAUUAUAUUUCAUCAAUCCAUAGAUUAAAUUUCAAGUAUUAUUUAAGUAAUGUUAACCCUCGUUCAAAAGGCAUCAAUAAAAAUUACAUAUUUUUUUUAUUAUUCUUAGUUUCUUUAGUAUAUUAGAAUUAUUCACUGCUAGGGCAUCACCCUAACACUUUUCAAAAAAGGUAAUCUAUAUAAAUAAUAAAUAAUAAAAUACAUGUGUAUAAAUCUUUACACUGUCGGUUCAUAGAUUUUCACUCAAAUAAUAAUCUAGCAAGUGGCAAGUGUGUGCUGAGCUUCGUUGAUUUGACGUGGAUAUCUUGCAUAAGUUGAAUUGGAAACCACCCACUUGUCAAGCAAUGAGUGGGUUACUAUUAUUCUUCUGCAUUCUGACCCCACACUAUCUUCACCUCGCCAACAAUAAUGAGGUAACAGAUUUGCGGAUAUACUACUUAGAUAAAAGGAUAAGCUAAGAUGAACUUGGACCGUCCGAUCUCAAAUAUCAUGACAUCCAACGUUGGAAGCCGAACAAGCAACAAGAACCACAUGAAUGCCUAAGAAUGUAAAUACAAAUGAAAUAAGAAGUGCACAAAACAAAACACUUCAUCUUACACUAGCAUUACUUGCACUAGUAGCUGCUAAAACAUGGCCACCGUUACAACACAGGCUUCUGCUGCCAUUUUCCGACCAUGUGCUUCUAAAUCUAGGUUUCUCAGUAGCUCUUCUGGUAAACUCAAUAGGGAAGUAGCUUUUAGACCAGUGGGAUCUACUCCUUCUACCUCUUUCAAGGUUGAAGCCAAGAAAGGAGAGUGGCUACCAGGACUAGCCUCCCCUGGUUACCUCAACGGCAGGUAUAUCAUAUGUUUUUUUAUAAUAUUGUAUGGAAACAAAGCAAGUGUUAGCGUAGUAGAGUAAGAUCAUGUUAGAUCCCGACAGACCAAAAGGUGAAACAUAUUAAACUAUGUGUUGAUUCAAAGUAAACAAACAUAUUUGGAUAACUUUCAAGGCAAAUUUACAUUUUAUAAUAUACUGCAUGUUAGAGUAUUGAAGUCCACAUUGGUUGGGAUGUACCAUUUAUAGUAACUCAAAUCAAAUCAUUACCAUUAUGUUAGUAUCUAAAUCACACAUUUGGUUGAAUAUACGAGAAAAUAAGUAUUUAUUUAUAAUAAUUGUCUUAGUAUUGGCACAGAUUGUGAUUUAGGAGCACAAGCUUAUGAAAUAUAUAAUCUAUCUCUAGACAUAAAUGACAUAGUUUCUGAACUUUCUUUCUUAGAUAUCAUUUUAAACUGAAAAAACUGAAUGCAGUAUCUGUAAUUAUUAACUUAUUGACCUGAAUGUAUGUUUUAUGCUGUUAUUAGUCUUCCUGGUGACAAUGGGUUUGAUCCUCUGGGUCUUGCUGAGGACCCUGAGAACUUGAGGUGGUUUGUUCAAGCUGAGCUUGUGAAUGGACGUUGGGCCAUGUUGGGUGUUGCAGGCAUGUUGCUUCCAGAGGUCUUUACCAACAUUGGAAUCAUUAAUGCCCCUAAGUGGUAUGAUGCAGGGAAAGAAGAAUACUUUGCAUCAUCCUCAACCCUCUUUGUGAUUGAGUUCAUUUUGUUCCAUUAUGUGGAAAUCAGAAGAUGGCAGGACAUUAAAAACCCUGGAAGUGUUAACCAAGAUCCCAUCUUUAAGCAAUACAGCUUGCCCCCAAAUGAAGUUGGCUACCCUGGUGGCAUUUUCAACCCCUUGAACUUUGCACCAACUGAGGAGGCCAAAGAGAAGGAAAUUGCAAAUGGUAAAUGCUUUAUUAACUCUUUAAUACACUACAAUAAUACACAAUAGUCGAAUGCAAAUUAGUGUUCCAGUUUAUGUCCCAAACCUUGUCUUGUUUAAUAAGAUAGCCCCACAUCAUUUAAAAACAAUUAAUUUAAUGGCUCCUUAGCUUGUUAAAAGUGACUAGAAAUUUUAAAUUGCGAUUGGAUUGCAAUCAUAGUUGUGGUUAUUGUGAUUAUGGCCGUUGUGACGUGAAUUAUUUUGUGAUUAAAAAAAUAUUUGAAUCUGAUAUGAUUCGAUGUGAUUGUGUUGUAACCCGAUGCGCCACAUUAUUGUAAUUUGGUAUCACACUGUAAUUAUGGUGUGAUGCAGUUAUAGUUAUUACCGCAUCCGCAACAUUGCGGCCGCAUCCGCAACAUAGUGAUACAAUCUGCAAUUUGAAUCAUUAAUACACUACACAAGAGUCUUAGUGUAAAACUAUUUAGCUAACCUUUUUUUGUUUAUAAUGUAUACAGGGAGAUUGGCAAUGUUAGCAUUCUUAGCAUUUAUAAUUCAGCACAAUGUGACAGGCAAAGGACCUUUUGACAACCUCCUCCAGCAUCUCUCUGACCCAUGGCACAACACCAUUGUCCAAACACUGAGUGGCAACUAAGUUUGUAUGAUUAUAUGAAUGCCUGUGUUAUUCUAUUGUACUUCUGAGUGGAUGAAUUUUGAGAGAAUUG